Molecule: long non-coding RNA, 64998 nt
Filed under: Solanum tuberosum (potato)
Lineage: Eukaryota; Viridiplantae; Streptophyta; Magnoliopsida; Solanales; Solanaceae
Description: long non-coding RNA (STUB_LNC002958)
Source: RNAcentral
UGUUGGUUUUCUUUCAGUGUAUACAAAAUCAGAAUGACUUCAUUAAGCAUUACUGUUGAUUGGAAUUGUCAGUGCUUUUUUACUACAACUAAUUGAAAACGUCCCAAGUGGAAAACACAUUUCUAGUCCAGUUUAUUGGUUCUUUGGUGCCAGCAGGAUUAAUACCGUCACCGUUCUUGAUGAAGCUCUCAGAUACCUCAAGUCACUUAAGAUGGAAGCGCAGAGAGGCGGACCAAUCCUUCCGGAAAAUUACAUUCUAUAUAAAGGUCAAAUUUGUAAAAUUCCUUGUGGUCCCGUGUUUCUAGUCCUAGUAACCUCAUAAUUAUAUAUAUUUACUAGAACCAUUUGUUUGCAACAAAUUUGAAAGUGAUAGAAAAUAAAUUGCAAUAAAAAAAAAAAGAAGAAACAUAACUUUAUUGAUAAAGAUUGCGGGUACAAUUAUAUUUCUCCCUUGAUUCUACUCUCCUAAGAUUUAUCCAUGAUUCCAGACCGUUAGUGACGUAUUUCUCGAACUAGAUGAUUUAGGUUAGACCUCUAUAUGAAUAUUCCAUCGAUUUGCAGAAUAUUCGAGAUUUCGAUCUCUUUAUGGAAUUUUUGAGAUGCCUUUUCAAGGGAUUAUAGUACCCUUUAUAUAGAUAUAAACUAGAGUUUAGGAUUGAGUAGCCUCUAAGAAUUCGAAUCGAAACUGAGCACACCUUCUAGAGUCCCAGUUCGACAAACCUUGAAGCAGAGGGCAUUUGUGUAGACAUUGAAAUUUUAUGAGAUCUACCAGACGUGUUCAAUUAUGUCAAGGAAAAUGAGAUUGUGUCAAGGUAUUAAUUAUUCUGAAAAAAUUGUUAUGUAUACAUUAUGUAUCUUGUAAAAUAAAUAGUGUGUAUAAUUAUAUGAUUAAGUUUAGUUAACUAACGAAUUCAAUUAGCUCUAUUUAUAUACAUAAUCUUUCAUUAAAAGAAUAUUUAUGAAUUUAUUAUAAUUUUAUAUUUACAUUAUUGAUUAUGUAUACAUGAAACUAUUUUGAAUUCAUUUAUUUAAAAGUCUUAUACAUUUAUGUAUACUGUAACUACAGUAUGUAUACAUUAGUUUGUAUUUAUUUUUGUAUUCAUCAGUCCAUAUUUACCUAACAAAUGUGUAUAUAUUUGUUUAAAUCAAGAUUGGCAUACACUGAUCAAAGUGUAUUUACAUGAGUAGAAUUUGAAGUUGUUGGUGGAGAUUAAAAAAAUCGAGAUCAUCAUACCAAUUUUUUUACAAAAAAUUUAUGUGAACCUUUCUUACUCAUAAAAUUUAUACCAAAAAAUCAAAAUCUAGAAUCAAAACUAUUGCCCAGAAAAGUUGAAAAACUUCAAUUCCUAAAAUCACGAUUUUUUCUAAUGAUUUGAGCAAGAAAACACUCCAGAGUAUAUAUGAAAGAGAAAUUUAUGAGAGAAUAAUGGAUAAAUAUACAAUUAUAUCUUGCAUAAUUAAUUAGAGCAAAUUAAGGAGCAGAAAAGAAAAUCAAGGAGAGAAAAAUAAAAAGAAAAUAUGGAGAUAUUUAAAAAGAAAAAAAAAAGAGACAAGAACGGGAAGAAAACGGUUUCAAAUAAUUAACAAGGAGAGAAAAAAAAUUGGAACAAUAAAAUAAUAGAAUAGGAAAUGAGUGAGAGAAAAAUCAGAUUUUUUUAAAGCUUUUCAAAAUAUGUGGCUUUUGGAUGUCAAAUAUAUUUUUUAUUUUUUUUUACCAAUAAACUAAAAGUAGGUCAUUUAUUCUCAAUUUAGUCUAUGAGUUGUCAUGUUGCGUCAUUUUUUCCUCCUUAAAAAAUUGUAGCUAGAGAUGUACUUUACUAAAUUAACCUUAUUAAUGAUGUUACAACACUUUGACUAUUACUCACUUAAUGUAACUAUUUAAUAUUAAAGAUACUAUGAGAAAUAAGUAAUAAAACUUCAUUAAUUUGCUAAAAUGGACAAAGACUAGAGGACUACAAGAGGUAUUCCAUGUUGUGAUCAAUUUUUUUUAGCGAUUUUCCGUCUUUUGAUCUUUGUUUCACUCAAGGACGAGUCGAUAAAGUAGAAUCGACGGAUAGAAUGGCAGAAGAAAGCAUAUCUAAGCAUCUACAUGACUCUAUUGCAUGCAAAACAUUCCUCAAUUACAGAAUAUAAACAUCAUCAAGAGUAAGGACACAAACAAUGAAAAGAAAAAGGAAUCGACAUGCACUUCGUCUACCAGUGAUGAAGUCGAAAAGGCUGAUGAAGAUCAAAUGGUUGACGAACAACUUCAUGAAGAUAAAAUUGCUUUAUGUGCAUUUGUAUUCGCUUGUUCCGUUUCAAAUUUAAAUAAUUUGGGAAUAUAAUAUGUAUUCCCUUUUAUAAAAAAAUUACUUAUGCUUGGAUACAACUCAUAACUAAACUAUAGUGUAUCUAUCAUUUUUCAUUGGUUUUUAUACAUAAAUUUUGUAUUCAUUCUAACUGUAUGCCAUCAAGUUUUGUAAUUUUAUCAUCAUUUUAUUUUUAUACUAUGAAUUGGAUACAACUUUUGUAGUUCAUUAUAUCAUUUUGUUGGAAUUCUGUGGAAUACAACAUAUUUAUGUAUUUCUUAUAUUUGUAUGCCCGUUAGUUUUGUAUUUAUGUCAUCAAAUUAUAUUCAUCCUCGGAAGUGGAUACAAAGUUUCUAGUUCAUAAUAGUAUCUUUGCAGCUGAUUGUGUGGAAUAUAUACAACAAAUUUUUUGUUUAGAUACAACUUUUGUAGUACAUAAUAUUAUUUUGUGGGGAUUAUGUGAAAUACUACAUUUUUUUUUUGUUAUAGUACUUAUUUUGUAUUUAUUCUAAUUGUAGGUCUACUAGUUUUGUAUUUUUGUCAUCAAAUUGUAUUCAACCUCGACAGUGAAUACAAAGUUAGUAGUUCAUAAUAGUAUAUUUCUAGCUGAUUAUAUGGAAUACAACAUAAUUUUUGUUUGUGUUUCUUUUUUAUUUGAUUCAUUCAAACGGUAUGCCAUCAAAAGUUUUGUAUUUUUGUCCUCAUGAUGUAUCUCAAUAUCUCUCUAUUUAAAUCUCAGUUUAAAAGUUUUUAAAAUAUUGUUUCCCAUGAUUUUCUCCUUUAUGUUAUUAACUAAUUGUAUUCUUUAAAAUUAAACAAAUGAAAAGUACAUAAUCAGCUCUAUAGCAAAAGAAAAGAUUGACAUUUUUAAUAAAUAUUGAAAAUAUGGCUAAGGGGUCCUAUUAAAUGCUAAAAUAUUGUCAUUUUGAUUUUUUUUCCAAAAGUGAACGUUGAAAAAAAUGAAGAAGCAAUAAUGGACUAAUGACUUUGGGCCGAGGUCUGUUGAGUCCAUGAACCUUUUGGGCUAUUUUUCUGUAAACAGAAAAUGGGCUACUUUCUUUUAUAAACUUCUUAUUUUUUCGUAUAUAAUUGAAACUUGCCCUUAUUAAUAUCUACUAUGGAGAUGACUCAAAUUUGCUAUUUAAUUACAAUAUUAACUUAUUGUCAAUCUACUGUGAAACAAGAAGUCAACAAAAUCUAGAAAAAAAUUAAAUAUAAGUAGAUUAUAUUUUAAUUGUUUUUUCCACAAAGUCGCCCUCGUUUUAAUUACAUAGUUAUCUCAAUAGGCUUGUUAAUUAAAAACACAGCUAUAUAAAGCGCUCAUCACAACUCAAGUUAGAAAAUAAAAACAUUUUAUCAUUCAGAAUGACACUCUCACAUAGCUCUGCUCCAUUUCUGAUAGUUUCCCUACUUUUGAUCUCCGUCACAUUAACAAGCGUAAAAGCCGAUCUGAUAAACGAUAUCUGCUCAAAAACACAAGAAAAUGAUGUAUGCUUAUCCGUUUUAAGGGAGGAUCCUCGAUCCAAGGAUUCAAAUCUUAAAGAUCUUAUGACAAUUGCAAUAGACUUGUCACAAAAUAACACACAAUACGUGCGUAAUCUUGUUGCAAUGUUAUUUAAUAAGGAGACAAAUUCAACAUUAAAGACGCGAUAUUCUUUGUGUUGGGAAAAUUAUAAUGACGCUAUUGCUAAUCUUGGAUAUUUGCCAGACUUAUUAAAGUCCAAAGAUUAUGAAGGUUUGAAUAUGCAUGCUUCCGCUGCUCUAAGUGAACCUUCCAAGUGUGAUGAUAAUUUUUCAGAACUACCUGUUGAACCGGCCCAGCUUAAAGUUGCUAAUGAAAACCUUCGAGAACUUAUUGAUAUUAUUUUGGUCAUUAACAAGCUACUGAAAGGUUGAUGUAUAAGAAUUUAGAGAUUUAUACAAGACAUUGUAAUCAACCUGAAAUAUAAAAGUUUUUAAAUCAUAAAGUUAUGUUUUUCGUUUUAAAUUUAGUUCAAGCACUUAUACUUGUUUAAUAACGCCCCUUAGACAUUAUGUCUAGUGAUAUUAGUUCACAGAUAAAAAUGAUUGGUAUUUCUUGUUCAGAGAAAAUCAUAUGUAUUUCCAUAUGCUUUUAGAGGUUGGGCUCAGUGUAAAUGAGUUGGUUUAUAUAAAAGAACUAGUUGACAAAGCAAUUGACAUGAAUAUAGGAGUAACAAUUAACAUCAAUUAACACAAAAUAACUUUAAAAUAUUUGGCAAAAUAUAGCCUAAACAUAAUUGGCACUAAGUAGUCAGAAUGAUGCCUAAUUUUAUGGGUUGAUUUUUUUUAACCAACUGACGCUACUUAGUUAAUUUAAUUAGCACAUUGUCCCUAAUUCAAUAUAUUUUUUGUUUUCAUUUUUUAAAAUGUUUUUUUCUUAACUAAUCUAAUUAGUUUAUGUUUUUCUUUUUUGUUUUACACUUAUUUCAAUGUAUUUUUUGUUUUCAUUUUCUUAAAUGUUUUUUUUUCGUUCUUAACUAAUCUAAUUAGUUUAUGUUUUUUAUUUUUUAUGUAGUGAAUUUUAUUUAAUUUUUUAUGAUCAUUGUGUAAGUUUUUAUUUUACUAUAUUUUUUUUUCUUUCUAUUCUAUGUUAUUUAUUCAUAUUGCAAUAAAUAGUUGUUUGUAUUUAAUUUUUCAUUUAUAAAAUCAAGAUAUACUAAAUUUCUUUAAUUCUAACAGUUAUAUUUUUAUCAAAAGUAUAAAUAAAAUUUGUAAAGUAGCAAAAAGUUUUUUAAGGAAUAAAUUAAUAAAAUUAUCAUUUUUAUUUAUAAUUUCCUAAGAAACGUGUAAGGAAAGUAGAUAAAUAAAUUAUUUAUUAAUUUUCACCUAGCUUGAAUUUCAGAAAUAAAAAAUAUCGUAUAAAUUGACGGAAAAAAUAUGUAUUUACGUAGGUGUUAUGGAUAUUUUUCAUACUUUCCAUGAAUAAAUUAUUAAAGUAUGGAAGUGCAAAAUUUGAAACAAUGAUUGAAAAAGAAAUCAAAUAAAAAAAAUAAAAAGUAAGAAUGAGGGUGGAAACGUCAUAAAGGAAGAGAAAAAGGAGUUUGGGCCAUUUUUUGAAAUGAGACUCAAUUAUCCACUUGUUAAAAAAUAAAUAGAAUCUCAUACAAGUUUUACUACAUCAUAUUUAUACCUCAUUCAUAAUAAAAAAUUUCAGAUAUACAAGUGAACAAUGCAAAUACUAAAGUAAAAUCCUAAUAUAUAAGUAGUAAAGUAAAGUAUUAGUAAAAUAAAGUAAAGUAAUAUGUAUCUAUAAACGGGCGCCGAAAAGAAAUUAAAUAUAUUUAUAUUUGUUGAAAAUAUCGACUUUGAACAAAAAUGAACCUACCAUGCUACUUCCUCUGUCCCUAAUUAUUUGUUCAUUUUUCCUUUUAUAGUUAUCUCUAAUUACUUGUCUAUUUUGACAAAUCUAGAAAGAACAACUUUUUUACCUAUUAUAUCCUCAAUUAAUUACUAUGAAAAAGGUAGAACUUUAUGAAAACCUUAAAUUUUUAAUUCAUCCACUUCAUAAUUAAUAGGGGGUAAAAUGAUAAACUCACUAUGUCAAUAAUUGUUUUCUUAAUAGGUGUGUCAAUUUAAAAGUGGACAAAUAAUUAGGGACAGAGGGAGUACUUAAUAACUUAAUUUGGACACUUUAAAAAAAAAGAGAAAAAAAUUAUCAAAUUUUAAUAAAAAAAUUAUUUAUGUUACACGUGGCUAUUUAUGAAUGGUUUGCUACUCUUUGUAAAUUAUCCAAAUAAAGGAUUUGGCUGAUGAAUGAGUUUUUCAAAUUUAGCUGAUAUAAUUAGUGACUUGACUCAUUAUUUAUUGGUUAUGUCUUAGAAGUGGUAUGCCAAAACUGACUACGUUUUUCGUUAACAAAAAAUUGACAUGAGUGGGUACUUUGUGCCGUGAUAGUGAUAUAGAUGAGUCUUUUUCAAACAUCAACGACACAUUUAAGAUUUAAAAAUAUAUAUAUUUAUAAUUUUUCCCUUCUAUAAAAAUAAUUCAUUGAUUCCCAAGUUCCAUUUUAACAUUAUACUGCUUCAAGUCUCCCAAUCAAACAUACAUAUCGUCUAUAAAAUACUAGGUGCGAUACACUUCAUUAUACGAAGAGACGAACUAUGAUUUUAAAUGAGUGCAUCUAUCCAGUACAAGUUUAUAUUAUGCAGACUCAAACAUAGAAUUUUCAGGCCUUUAAAAGUACAAAUAAUGUCAACAAAAGUAUCUAUUUAGAAGAAGCACAACUAUCUUCAUAUAUAUGUCAUAUGUGCAUAUACAUCUUAGAUUAGUUUCAGCAGAUUCGCUUAAGUAUGUUAACAUAGUAAACUUUUGAUCUUCAUUCCAAAAAUAGAUCUUGUAGAACACAUUUUAUCCUCUAGACUAGUAUCUAAUUUUUAUUUUUAUCAUCGUAAAAAGAGCUUGAUUUAUCAUCCAUUACGGCAUAUAAAAUGAAAAAUUUAUAAGAUAAACAAGCUAUGACAUAUGUAUUCAUGUAAUAGUCCUUGAAACUUCCCUCAUAUGUGGAAGGAGGGUAAACAGUAAACUUUGGUUUGACUCCAUUUGAUUCGCGACUUGUUUUGUUUUAGUGAAGAAGAUUGUAUCCUUUAAAAAUAUCUUGCAAACUGUAUUUCAUAAGACAUUAUUAACAAAUCACUGCAACGUGCAAAAUACUUAGUGUUAUUCCACCUGUACAUGUAGAAAUGAGAAGAUGGAGGAUCACGAUGACGUACUGAUUUCUUGUAGUCAUGAGUACAAGAAAAAUGACUUUUAGUGAAAGAAAAUCCAGUUGUUAAAAGUCCAAAUCUAAAAGCUCCGUCGUUGUUAACGAUCGGAUUGUAUAUCCAGUCGUUAAUGACAACAAUUAAUCCAGUCGUCACACUUACUUACAACGUGCAAGCCAAAUGAGGGAUUCCCGUAAAGCUCAAGUUCAAGAUCUAGUGUAUCAAUUCUUAAUAGCAUGUCAUUUAUCUUGUCCAAACAUAUACUAUAAAUUAAGCAAGAACAGACCUAGUAGUGAAAAUUUUUGACGACUUGGUAAAAGUAGGGAAUUCUCUAUGUUCAAUAGAUAUUGUUGAAAGCUUAACAUAAACAACACCAAUGAUAAAAUCACUAUGUUCAAUUGAUUGAAAGCUCAUUGCAUCUACAAAACAACCACUUCAAUUGAACGAACGUCCUAUAUAUAUAUAUAUAUAUCCUUUCUUCUCUGGAACAUCUGUCUGCACAAGAAUGAAACAAUUUACAAACAAAAGAAUACAACCCUCAACAAGGUUUUGGAGUACAUAUUUUUAACAGAAAAAAAAAUAAAAAAUCCUCAACUACCAAAGCCAACACAUAUUACAGAAGAAAUUGCUCAAAAAAUCAAUUAUGCCAAAAUAUUCCAAGACCCUGUAAAUCCAAGCCCUAGCAAGAGUCGAUUUGGGAAUCCAGAAGUUACCGCAAGAGUCGCAACUCAUAAUGGGGUUCCUGCGGUUAUUUUCAAGUCUAGUGACUAUUACGGGAUAAUGGGGAAAUUUAUGAGAACACGCCCUCAAAUAGAGAAGAUUCAAUCAAAGCUUGCAGAGAAAAUCACUGUCGUCAGAGGUAACGUAUAUGAUUUUCCCACUGUGUUUUUAGACUUAAAAAACGUGUGGUAUAAGAGGUCCAUUGAAAUCAAAGGUCAAAUGAUGUGGUUAGACUCCUGUUUGGGUGUUAUUGUCGGGACUACCAUACUUGGAACCAUGUUAAACAAAUCGUUGGACCAGUUGGGACGCCUCUAACUAUGGACCUUGCAACUGAUCACAAAACAAGACCUAGUAUGGCAAAGGUGAGGGUGGAGGUCGAUCUCACGAAGCCUAAAUUAACCUCUGUUUUUGUGGGAUCGGAAGAUGAUUCUUGUCCAUUGAAAGGAUACUAUAUGGCAGAUCUGGGCAAUAAUAUGGAAAAAACCAAUAUCAAUGAGGAAAAAUAUAAUACUAUCAAAGGCAACAAUGAAGCAACCGCUAGCUCUGAUAAAGUGCGCAACAGCGAAGACGAUCAACAAGAGAGUAAGAAUAUUGAACAGCACGGUUGGUAUUACAAGGAAUGAUCUUGUGAUUGAGGGAAAAAAAAGGUAGGAAUAAGAUGAUUGAAGAAAUGGAAAAGGAAGGUUCCCUCCUCAAGAAAAUAUUGGAUAAAAUCAAGAGAAAGAUGCCAAAGAAAAGAUCCAAUGUGAAACUUAGACUUGGACCCGGAAAAGUUAUAGUGCAGGAGAUAUUAUUAUUAGACAUGAGGGCAAUGAGAUGGAUCAACAACAGAGAAGUAAUAAGCAGCUUGAUGCAGAGAACUAUGGUAUUUCAAAUCAGAACAAUAUGUAUGUAUGAAGAGGGCACAGGAGACAAUAUAGAAAGGAGUGUCAACGAUCAUGAAGAAUCUUCUAGACUUCCAACGAAUAUUAAAAAUUUGUCUACUAUAAAAUUAGUGGUAGAUCUCAAUGACAACAUGAUUGAUAUGUAUAACUCUUGGGAGAAGGUGGAUAACACGGAUGAAAACAAUACUGAGAUCAAUAAAGAUGAUUUUCAGAAGAAGGUGAUGCACAACAACACAUUAAUGAGGUGUGUGACAAACAUAACAUGAUCUGUCACCUGUCAAAAGGGGCAGGAGUAGACACAAAAGAGACAACAAGAAAGCAACUGUAAAUGUUUCCAAUGAUUAGUCCAAUUAUUUGGAACAUUAGAGGAGUAAGAUCGAGAAAGGUCAUUCACAGACUCAAGAGAAUGGUUAACAAAUACAAACUUGACAUGAUUGUUAUUUCAGAGUCGAUGUUUAGUAGAGAUAAAGUGAUGGGGUACAAUAGAUUUUUGGGCUUCAAUUACUGAGUUCUAAGACCAAUGGUCAAAUAUGGUGUUUUUGGAGAGAUAAUUGCACUACUAUAAUCAUUCAGAAUCAUGUACAGUAACUCACUCUUACUAUUCAAAGAGACCACAACAAUCAGCAGCAUUAUGUAACUGCAGUUUAUGCAAAAUGUACCACAAUUGAGAGAAUUGAAUUAUGGAAGAGUUUGAAGGAUCUUAAUGUCGUUGAUCCCAAAAGAUUCAACAGAAGGAUCAACAUUUUAAAAAAAUAACAGAUCAUCCUCCUCCAAAGAAUAGUCAGAAUCAUUAAAAUCCUCAUCGUCAAAUUCAUCACUGUGUACCUCUAUGUCAUUUGCUAACAAAAAAUUCUUUUUCAUCUCAUUGCGACAUUGAUUAUCAUCAUGAUAAAAAUUCAAAUGUUCAAAAUAUAUCUCAACUACUCUGUCCUUUGGAAUGCAAGUAACAACUUUAGCGGCUUCCAUAUUACUCCCAACUAAUCGAACCUUAUAAGAGGUUAAACCAUACUUGUGCCAAAAUACCACAGAUUCCUUGUCAUAACCGCAUUGCUCGGCCAUAUUCUUAAAAUCUAUUAGAUUAAUCAUUGUACCGUCGACAUAAUCAAAAUAUUUGACUUUUCCACCUAUGUAGCCUCUUGUCGAACUACGCACAAAUGAUUCACCAUGAUGUACUUUCAUUGUGAAAAACGAUGACUCAUUCAUAGAAUCUACAUAUAAUAUCAAGUUAUAGACGGUGUAAAAACUUUUAUUUUUACAAAUAUAAUAUAAAUCUGAAUAUACAUAAAGCCAACAAAGAACUACAAGUUCAUUAUAAUGAAUAUCCAGAAAACAAAACCUUAUAUAUCAAAUAAAAAACCUAAUAUAGCUUUUCAAAAUCAGUAAUACUUACUUAUAAAUCAAUAUGAAAGGCAUUGUAAAUUAUUAAAAAAAUGCUUAAAAUGUCUUGAAUAUCGAUAAUAUCAUAAUUGGGUGUGGACGAUCGACCACUUAAACUUCGAAUCGACAUUAUUCCGAAUUUUGUUAUGCUGCAAGCCUGCAACCCGCAAUAUCUAGCGUUUUUAAGAAUGAAGAAGAUGUUUUAGUUUGAGAAAUAGAAAAUUGCAAAUAUUUUUCGAAUCAGAAAAACAAGAAAUUUUCAAUGAUUUUUUCUUCUUUUACCUUGUUUGUGUAUAGCCCUUUGCCCUGUCUUCAACUCUUGUUGAAGAGAAAAAAAUUUCUUUGAUCUUGAAUAGAAAAAAUUAAUAAUGUAAUUUAGUCAAAUAUUAAAUAAAAAAAUUAACAGAUGUUAUCCGUAGAAGAAAAUUAAUUAACAGAAUAGAAAUGGUUCCAUUUUCUCUCUCAAACGAUUCUAUUGGUGGUACGGUAACUGAGGUUCUCACUGAUGAUGACCUACUUGGUGGAUAGUUGUUGCUUCUGUUGAUGUACGAACAGACAUUGAGGACGACGAACAGAAGGAGUGUGAUCCAUAAAACAGAGACAUUGAAAUGACCUCUUCGGAGAACAAGCUCUUGAUGAAACCAUGGAUAGCAACACCUCAAGUUGGAACAACUCCCAACAGUCAUAUGUCGGCAUGCACUCCGUGUAGGUUUCAAGAUCAUUCUCUCAAGACUUGUGAAUCCAAAACUGGAGUUAACAUCUUAAAAGGUCACUAAACUAUGAGAAAUUAUCUUGUAAAGUCACUAAACUUUAUUUUGUAUCACUAAAAUCACUCAACUUUACACUUUUAUCUUCUAAAAUCAUUAAACCAUAUUUGUCACCAAAAUAAAUCUGACAUGGCAAAAUAAAUUAUUUUUUAUGCCAUGUCAUCGUGGACCCCACAAAUAAAUAAAAUUAUAAAAUUAAUUUAUUUUAAUGUCAUGUAAUCAUGGACCCAACAAAUAAACAAAAUUAUAAAAUUUAUUCAUUUUAUGUCUUCCCCUCUUAAAUUCUGUUUUUGCAAUAAAAUUCAUAACGCUUUUUUUUGGACUAUUUCAAUCAAAAUUUCUUUCUUAUCAACAACCUUUUAAAAAAUCUAAUCAACAUUGGAAAUAAAUGUUAAAUUCAAUUGCACAUACUAUAUUGCCUCCCGUGUCCACCAUGUGACAUAAUCAUACUUGUACAUCAAUUCCAAUAUAAAUAAGCAAAACACAAGUAACAUUGCAUUUCUAAAAAUAUAUUACAUACUAGGCUGUUAUGAGCACCAUUGUUAGCAGAAAAAAAAAAAGAACGACAACAAUAUAUAUGUCGUAAUAGGUGUCUCACAUAACCACAAAAAAUUACUAAGAUAAUAUCUAUACUUUGCUAUGAUUUCCAAUCUUCUUCUUCUUCUUCUGAACUUCAACAAUGUACUCCUUCAUGACUUUUCUCUUAAAGAGUCUGCCUCUCUUAGAAGUAUGAGAUAGUCUAGUAGUUUCGAUACCUUUAAUUGCAACUUCAUCAACACCUUGAGCAACCACUACAUCAGUUUGAACAACUAUUACCUGUUCUUCAAUUGGUGCCUUGUGAAAAAAAAAAGUAAAUAAAGAUAAUGGUAGAGAAAACAUUCAAAUUGUAUUAACUUUAAAACAACCAUUACCUGAGUUCUAGUCGACUGAUAUGCCAAAUUCAAUCCUUGGUGAUUAUUAUUCCACAUCUCCGGGCGAUACAUAUUUAAAUAAUCCCCGUCAUUUGAAGCUUCUUCAACUGGACUUAUAGCCUCCAAAUAAUGGCUUGAAGAUGAUUCUCCAGCUUUGACAAAUUUAUAAUGUCCUCUUGCAUUAUGUCCAUACUUUUUGCAAAUUGAACACAUUACCUGCGUAGAACCUUUUUUGGAUAACUUUUGAGGUCGCCUUUUUUCAGACUUCUGCUCAGCUCUUUUUUCAGCUUUUCUAACAGCUUCAGCCUUCUUUUUCUUCUCUAAUUCUCCAGGCUCUUUUUUCCUUGAUUUGGGCUUUCUUCCUCGCUUUUUCUUCACAAUUUUAGGUGGUAUUACCUCUCCACAAUCCACAACCUCAGGCCAGUGAUCUUCUGGAUUUGUUGGAUUGAUGUAAUGUGAAUAUACAUUCUUGAAAGUUUCAAUUGUGUAGAAUGUAUCCACAUAAUCCUCCACUCUUUCACUAUUUCCAAUAAUACAUGCAUAUGCAUGAGGACAUGGUAAUCCAGUAAGUUCCCAUCUUCUACAUGUACAACUCUUUGCCUUCAUGUCAACAAUAUUAACUCCACCAGGACCAUCUACCGAGACUCUUGGUCCCCCUGAAUAAUCAGUUUUAAACCAAAUUGCUUCCUUGCUAAUCUUGUUCAAUUUUUUCACAAUUUUUGGGCAAAUUGAACUAUCAGACUUUGCAACCCACUCUCUUUUCUUGUACAAUCUUUUCAUCAACUUGUUUUUUUUAUCAUUUCUAGCAUUGUAAUAAUAGCUUUAUCUCUAGCAUCAAGUAUAUACCUAAAAUAAGUGCUACAUUAGUAAUACAGAUUGUAAACUAAUAACUACAACAACUACAUACUUGGUGUAAUCUCACAAGUAAGGUCUAAGGGAUAAAGUGUGCAUAGACCUUACUCCAACUUAACAUACAUCAGUCAAUAAAGGUGAUCAACAUAAUCACAAAUAACAUACAACAAUACCAUCCUAACAAGAAACUUAUCAGUCGAUAUUUCCAACCUCAGCCUGACAAUGUAACUUAUGCAAUUACCUAAAGGCAUAAAUAACAGUGAUGACCAAAAAUAAGUGGAUGAAAGUAUUUAAUUAAUUACCUGUUAAAGCUUUCACACAAGUUGUUGAGUAACAUAUCACAUUUUGUAUUUAUUCUAAAUAAUGCUCUAGUCCAACUUUGAAAUGGCCUUUCUGGGUUAUUGAACCACUCUCUUGCCGCUUUGUCCUCUUGAUCAAGUUCUUCCAUGCAUUUCUGAAAGAUUAGCUUGUUGCUUGCCCUAGCAGCAUUCCAUACCAAAUCCUUCAAAGCUUUGCCUUUAUGUUUUUGCUUGAAGUUCUGAUACAUGUGUCUAACACAAUUUCUAUGUUCAGCUUCCGGAAACAAAUCUUUUACAGCUCCAAUCAGACCCUACAUAAGAAACAAAGUAGCAACAUAUGUAUGUUAAACAGAAAAAAGAACAAAAGAUAUAAAAGAUUUUUACUCACUUUUUGCCUGUCAGACAUAAAGGCAAUGUGGUGACUAUUUCUGAUGUCUAAAUCAUAUCCAAGAUUGUCAAUAAACCAGCUCCAUGUUUCUUUACUCUCUGUUUCAGCUAUCACAGCAUAAGCAACUGGAAAUAUACAAUCAUUUGGAUCUAUUGCCACGGCAGAUAAUAAAUUUCCUCCGUAUGUGCCUUUUAGCCAACAACCAUCUAGGCUAAUUAAUGGCCUACAACCCGAUUUAAAAGCUUCCUUGAGUGCUACCAGACACACAUAAAAUCCCAAGAAUUUCCCCCCAUCUCUCCAAAUUACAACAUUAGAUCCAGGAUUAGAUCUCAACAAUUCAGCUCUAUACGAUAGUAACUUGCCAUACUGAAGACCUUCAUCACCAUAAAUCCAUUUUAAUGCUUGAUUUUUAGCCCUCCAAGCCUUCAAAUUUUCUAUAGUAUAACCAAAGUCCUUCCUUACAAUUUCAACAAUACCACUAAUGUUCCAACCAGGAUCAACUUUAAAAAUAUUCAAAUACUUUCUAGCAAUGUACUUAGGAGAUAAGUGGAAAUUAUCAAACACCUUAGCACCUUUAUGUUUCAGAUAAAGUGACUUGAUCUGAACGGUUGGAUCGCGCUUAUUCACUUUACUAGCAUAAAUUCUAAAGGGGCAACCAUCAACCUUACAAAUACAAACCACCCUCUGUUGAUCAUUGGGCUUAAAACGUAACUGCCUUCUUUUCUAAUACCCAAUUCCCUACAAGCUUCUUUGAAUUGCUUGAAAUUCUUAAACUUCAUCCCUAAUGCAAAUCUAGGCAAAUUCUUAUUUUUACCUUCAUCAUAUUCUUCAUAGAUAUUAUUUUUCUGGCCAUUGUUUUCUCCUUUAUCAGAUUGAACAUCAUCAUCAUCAGGCAAUUCAUCUGAAUAUGCAUAAUCAAAUUCAAUAUCAACAUUUUGUAGAGGUACUAAAAUUCCAGAGCUAACUGGCACAUUGACACUUGCAUUUUUGGGUCUUCCUCUAAGCUUCUUGACUUGUUGAUCGUCAAUAAGAACUUGUUGAUCGUCAAUAAGAACUUGUUGAUCGUCAACAAGAACUUGUUGAUCGUCAACAAGAACUUGUUGAUCGUCAACAAGAACUUGUUGAUCGUCAACAAGAACUUGUUGAUCGUCAACAAUCAACAAGAACUUGUUCUUGUUGAUCGUCAACAAGAACUUGUUGAUCGUCAACAAGAACUUGUUGAUCGUCAACAAGAACUUGUUGAUCGUCAACAAGAACUUGUUGAUCAUCAGUAAGAACUUGUUGAUUAUCAAUAACAUCCUGAAAAUCGUCAUCUUCAUCGGACAAAUUAUAGUCUGGAUCACUAAACUCCUCAUCCACUUCAUUAGUUACAUCACCCUUAAUACCUUGUAAAACAACUUUAGUUGAAUUUCCCUCAAUUAAAACGUUUUUGUCCACACCAUUAUCCUCCCUAUUAUCAACUAAUGUAUCUUCAAUGCCGAUAUCGCUAACAACUUCCAAAUAGUUUGAAAAAUGUAGUUCUAAAGCCUUUGAAGUUUCAGGAAAACAUGAACCAGAACUCUGAAAUAAAAAAAAUAGAAAGAAUACUUAGCAUUAAAUAUUUGCUUUAUACUAAUAAUAGUAUAAUCAUAAAAAAUAAACAAGUUACUCUUACAAAUAAAUAUUAAUCCAUAAGAAUAAUUUAUAGCCUGAAUGAAAGAAAACCCCAUAUAGGCUAAUGCCUGAAUUUUUAAUUUUUAUAAUGGAGAAUAAGGUUACAAAUACAUUAGAUAAUCACAUCCUCUUACAUGAAAUCAACAAUGAACUAACCUCCUCUAAAUACAGGGGAAAAAAAAUUAGAAUACAAAAAGCCCUAAACCCAUUUUGAGAUUCUACAAUAAAAGGACAAUAUAGUUAAAAAAUUAUAUUUUUUACCUCGUUUUGAAGUAGGAUUCGUUUACCAAGCACGUAGUGGUCCCUUUCGUCGGCAUUGGAGGCUUGUGGGUGCGGGGGGGACCAUUCUUUUAUAGAUUUCAUCACAUUAUUCCUCGAAGAAAUGAAGGAAUCCAUUGUUUAUGGAAAAAUUUCAGCAUCAAUAACCUUAAAAUAGACUUUAAAGUGCCUCUUUGUGGAUGAGAAUUUUGGGAGAAAUAGAGAAAGAAGUAGAAGAAGGAAGCGGGAGAUUUGGGCAGAAAUAGGUUUUACUGUUUUAGAAGAAGAUAACUUAUGGGUGGGUAUGUAUAUUGAUAAAUUAAUUUUAUAAUUUUAUUUAUUUGUGGGGUCCACAAUGACAUGUCAUAAAAAACAAUUUAUUUUGCCAUGUCAAAUUUAUUUUGGUGACUAAUAUAGUUUAAUGAUUUUAGAAGAUAAAAGUGUAAAGUUGAGUGAUUUUAGUGAUACAAAAUAAAGUUCAGUGACUUUACAAGAUAAUUUCUCAUAGUUCAGUGACCUUUUAAGAUAUUAACUCUCCAAAACUGGGCAAGAUAGCCAAACCACAAAAAAAGACACAAUAUAAUAAAAAAUGUAAUAAAACGAUUUCAAAUCUCCAAAACCACAGCUAAUCUGUCUAUAUACGAUCUAAAAAUUGUUUAGAUAUAUCUCCCAAAUUCAUAGGAAAAGCAAAAUAUUAGAAAUUCCACAAGAGAUCAAUUCUUUAUGAUUGUAAUACUAGAAAUAAUUAGAUUGAUUACCACUAAGAUACUGAACAAAAUUGAGAAUUGCCCAUGGAAAGAUAAAUCAAAUACUAACUUGGAUCCAUUAAUCAGAUCUUUCACUUGCGAUGAACAUCGGGUGCGAUACACUAUUACAUUUGUAUUUUUUUGGAGAAAUCUGAUGAAAACAUUGCUUGAGUGUUUUUUUUUAAAAGAAAAAUCUUAUCCUUUAGUAAUUGAUUGAUUUAAAAGAAAUUUGGUCGGUAUAGAUACACUUAUAACGGUGUAAUUAGUAAUCUUUCGUAAAAUGGUGGUCGUUAAAAGUUAAUAUUCUCUUAGUUGAGCUGAUCGGAAAAGUUUCGACAACGUUCUUUCAUUAAAGAAGCGUUGAGGAGAGUACCUGUAUUAUUACAUUGUAUUUGGAAUGUUGUAAAAAUAUUGUUCAAAAAGUGGAAAAUUAAUUAUAAACCUAUCACCACCACCACCUUAGCUUCCACUCAUUCACCAUGCUCCAAAUUUGCAAUUUCCAUAGCCUGCAUGCAAACCCAAAAAGUGAAGGAAAAAGAUUAGUAAUAAAAAUAAAUAGAUUAAUUAAAAAUAAUAAUAAAAAAACAAUACUUGGAUCAGUGAUCGCGAUCAAACCACUACUUUUGAACCAACAUGAUACAUUUUGUGGGUCUGCCUUAUAAUACAGGUUAAUGACAAUAUUAGGCUCAAAACAGGAUCCGUCGGGGUUUAUUAGAGAACAGUCAGGCAUCCCCUUGUCAUUACAGACAAACUGGAUAUUUUCGUUCAGUUGUUCCUCUGAAGUAGAAGGUUUUGGAACACACCACUGCAACAUACAAAAUACGUAGCGUUAGUUUAUAAAAAAGUUAACACUAAUAAUAAAAUAAAAUAGGAAAUCUCUACCAUGUCUGAGUUGACCUCGAUUUGUGGCGAGAAUGUUAAGUUUGAUAAUUCUGGAUCAAUGCAGGAUCCAUGGAUGAGAGCAACAUUGAGAGGAAUGAAAAGAAUUGUCUAUUGAUUAUUCACAAAAUGUAAUACAGGGAUAUAUAUACAAUCUUAUUGUAACCGACUUGCAUAGCUACUACCUAACUGAUUGCUAUAGUGUAUAACUAACUUCUCUAACAAACUAUUCUGCUCACACUGCUAACAUUGCAAUGUAUAAUGUAACAGCUUGUAACUAACUUCACUAAUGUACACUGAUGCAUUUAUUUAAUUCGUUUACACCCUCCUUCAAGCUAAGAGCUAUGAAGAUAUUCUUCAUACCUAGCUUGGACAUAAGAUGCACAUGUGAAAUUCUCCCAAGUGCUUUAGUGAGGAUAUCAGCUGGCUGUUCUGAAGAUGAUAGAUAUGUAGUGACAAGUAGUCCGGCUUGAAUUUUCUCCCUAAUGAAAUGACAAUUAUGUCAAUAUGUUUCGUACGUUCAUGGAAAACAGGAUUAGCCGCGAUCUGAAGUGUUGAAGUACUAUCUGAAUACAAAGAGACAGGCAGUGAAAUAUUAACACCAAUAUCUUGAAACAAACCUACUAGCCAAACUAUCUCAGUAACAGUUGAGGCCAUUGCCCUGUACUCUGCCUCAUUUGAUAUAGGUGAAUCUCCAUGUUGAACCAAGUAACCAGUAAUAGAUCUUCUACUAUUAAUACAAGAACCCCAAUCUACAUCACAAAAUACCUUCAACACAUUAUUUCCUGAUGAUGACAUUAAAAUUCCCAAGCCUGGAGCUGAUUUCACAUACUUCACAAGCCUCAAUGCAGCAUCUAAAUGUGACCUUUUAGGAGAAUGCAUGAACUGGCUCAGACUUUGUACAGCAAAUGAGAUGUCUGGCCUAGUUAUGGUAAGAUACAAUAGUCUUCCAACUAAUCUUUGAUAACUAGCAGAGUCAUCUAACAAUGGAUCAUCAUGCUCAGAUGGUAUAAUAUCAUCAAACUCAGUACUCGUAAGUUUCAGAUUCAAUUCCAUUGGAGUAGAGACUGGUUUAGCUCCUGCUAACCCCAUGUCUGCAAUCAGCUCCAAAGCAUACUUCCUUUGGUGUAUAAGAAUACCUGCCUCAUUCCUGGCAAAUUCCAACCCAAGGAAGUACCUAAGUUCCCCCAGAUCCUUGAUCUUAAAAGCAUGUUGCAAUGCUUCUUUGGUUUCUUGAAUCAUUUGGCAAUCACUUCCAGUUAUCAACAGAUCAUCUACAUAUAUGAGUAUUAUGACUAUCAUGUCAUCCUUCUUCUUGACAAGAAGAGAAUAAUCUCGAGUACUUUGAGUAAAACCUGAGGCAAUCAAGGUGGUGGUGAGUUUAAUGUUCCACUGCCUUGAAGCCUGUUUGAGGCCAUAUAGUGAUUUUAACAACCUGCACACUUGGUUACCUUCAGACUUGCAAUUAAACCCUUCUGGUAGCUGCAUGUAUACUUCUUCAUUCAAAUCACCUUGCAAAAAGGCAUUGUACACAUCCAUUUGAUGGAUUUUCCAAUGGUUAGUGGCUGCUAAAGACACAACAGUCCUAACAGUAGCCAUCUUAAGGACAGGUGAAAAAAUCUCUUGAUAAUCAAACCCUUCCUUCUGAUUGUAUCCUUUUGCUACUAAUCUGGCUUUGAAUCUUUCAACUGUACCAUCUGCAUUGUAUUUGAUUUUAUAGACCCAUUUACACCCUAUGGCCUUCUUGCCUCUUGGUAGAUCUAUAACCUUCCAUGUCUUGUUAUCCUCUAGUGCAUUAAUCUCACACUUCAUGGCUGCUAUCCAUCUAGGAUCUGUGGAAGCCUCUUUGUAAGUAGUAGGUUCAAUAUCAGCUUAAAAUUUAGAGAUAAAACUCUGAUACUUGGGGGUGAGACCAUUAUAAUUCAAAACUGAAUCAAUAGAAUAGAGACAGUUAUUUGAGCCAGCCUUAGUAACAUAAUCCUUGUGCCAUAUGGGAGGUCGAGUGCCUCUAGUAGACCUCCUGAUUGAAGUUGUAGAGUUGAGGGAAUGAUCUGAAGAAUGUGUUGGAUUAGGAACCUGAACAUGCUCAUUGGUAGUUAACUUAUCAGUGUCAGUAGAAGGCAGAACAAUAUUUGGAGCUGUAACCAGUUCAUCAAAUACAAAAUGGUUGUUGGUGGACAAGUGACCCUGUUCAGUGUUAACACUAUCCUUAAAAGGGAAAACUGUUUCCAUAAAAACAACAUCUCUGCUCAUAAAGAAUAUUCUAUUAUCCAAAUCAUACAACUUGUAACCCUUUUGAGUAACACCAUAUCCAACUAAAACAACUCUCACAGCCUUAGGACUGAACUGUCAUGUCUGACUAGAUUUGUGGCAAAACACAAACAGCCUAGGACUCGUAAAUGAGCAAAUGUAGGGGGCUUACCAUAUAAUCUCUCAAAAAGAGAAACAUCAUUUAUAACUGUGGAAGGUAUUCUAUUCAAAAUAUAGACUGCAGACUGAAUACAAAGACCCCAAAACCUGUCUGGGAAGUUGGCUUGGAACUUAAUUGCUCUUACAGUCUCAAGGAUAUGUCUAUGUCGUCUCUCUACCACUCCAUUUUGCUGAGGUGUGUAAGGACAAGACCUCUCAUGUAUGACACCACAAAGCUAGAAAAAAUCAUUGCAGUUGAUGUUAAAGAAUUCAGAACCAUUAUCAGAUCUCACCCUUUUUAUCUUGAUGUUAAACUGUGUCUCUAUUUCAACAAAGAAAUGUUUUAACAAGUUAAUAACAUCAGACUUCAAUCUCAUAAAAAAUGUCCAUGUCCACCUUGAAUAGUCAUCCACAAUAGUAAAAAAAUAUCUCAUUCCAUUAAAAGUUUCUACUCUAUAAGGCCCCCAAACAUCCAUAUGCAACAAUUGGAAAAUACAUGUAGAUUGACUAGUACUUUGUGGAAAUGACAAUCUAGUUUGCCUUGCAAGAGGACAAACUUCACAACUGGGUAAAAUAAGUUUGGUAUUACCAGAACUAUGAAACAUAGGAAUUUUUCUGAUCACACUCAUAGGUACAUGACAGAAUCUUUUGUGCCAAACAUUUGCAUCAAUGUCUUGUGUUACUGCUAAGCAUCUCUGUGGUGGUGACGUAUGUGCCUCCCCUAUCUGUGUGCAUACUGUAUAUAGUCCAUUUUCUUCUCUACCAGUCACCCUCACCUUCCCAGACAAGAGGUCCUGAAAAACACAAUAUUUUGGAAAAAAGUAACACUGCAAUUCAAAUCUUUUGCCACUUGAGAAACUGACAUGAGAUUGAACUGAAAAGCAGGUACACAUAAGACUUGUCUAAGAAUAUCACCUCCACCUAUAUGACAGUCCCCAAUGUGUGAUACUUUAGCAGAAUCACCAGUGGGUAGCUGAACAUGACCUGCACCAUCUAUUAAUUCUUUAUGGUGUAAAUAAGAAGAAUCACCAAGCAUAUGGUGAGAAGCCCCAGUGUCAACAAUCCAGGUCAAUGAAUCAGCCUUAUGGAUAGGUGAGAUACCUGCCAUAUGUGCAGUUCCAGGUUUAUCAGCAAGUGUAGCUUGAUCCAACAUUCUGAGCAACUGCUGAUGUUGUCCUGGAGUAAACAUAGGCAUAACUGAAGAAGAAGGCAUAGACUGAUGAUACUGAUAUUGUUGGGAAGAAGAUGCCAUAUACUGAUGUUGUUGCUGUAAAACCCCUGAAUCAAAGAUUGAAUUACCAGCUACAACAUUGUGUUGUUGCUGCUGUAAAACUCAUGCAUCAUAGAUCGAAUUACCAGCUACAAUAUUGUGUUGUUACUGCUGUAAAAUCCCUAUAUCAUAGAUCGAAUUACCAGCUACAACAUGAUCUCUCCUGCCCUUGUAGUGAGGUGGAUAUCCAAUGAGCUUAUAGUAGUUAGUUUUAAGAUGACCAGUCUUAUGACAAAAAUCACAUUUCAUCAACUUGAGACAGUCAAUUUUCAGAUGUCCUUUCAAAUUACAAAAUUCACAUAAGGCAUGAGGAUUGUAAGGCUUUUUCUGCUGCUUCUGAGUGACUGAUUCGAAUCUAUUUGUGAAUAAUAUUGUUGGUGCUAAAUUCUCAGGUGAUAUUCUGCUCGAAUUAGCAACCAUUCUCUGGCUUUCAUCCUGAUUAAUCAUGACAUAUGCCUGAUUAACAGUAGGCAGUUGAGACAUCAAUAAAAUUUGGCUCCUAGCUUGGCUAUAGUUAUCAUUGAGUCCCAUGAGGAAUUGUAACAUUCUCUGAAACUGUAAGUGCUCAAAGAAAUCCCUAGAUUUAGAACAUGUGCAAGAGAAGGAAGCAUGAUAGAAUCAUAUUCAUCCCAUAGAUCCUUAAGCCUAGAGUAAUAUAUUGAAACAGAAGAGACUCCUUGAACAAGUGUGAAGAUCUCUUUGUGUAGCUGAAAAAUACGUGAACUGUUUACCUUGUGAAACCUUUCUUUCAAAUCCUUCCAAAUUAGAUGCGCAUCUGAGCAAAAAAGCACUCCACUGUGUAGAUCCUUGCUAACAUUGCACAAAAUCCAUGAUACUACAAUUGCGUUACAACGAUCCCAUAAACAAGCCAAAUCACCUGUGAAUUGAUCUCGAUCUACUAUACCAUCAAUGAAUCCCACUUUGUUUUUCCCAAGCAUAGCCAACUGCAUAGCUUUGCUCCACAAAGUGUAAUUAUCAGUUCAUGUAAGCAUAAUACCCACAUUGAGUGAUCCAGGUGCAUCAGAUGGAUACAAAUAGAGAGGAUGAAGAUGAUCAAUUGUGGUAGCAACCAUGACAGUACCCAAUUGAUUUCCAGUACCAGAAUCUCCCAUUGAAAUCACAAAGAAGGGAAGAAAUCGAGAAAUCGAGUGCACAACUGAAGAAAAUGAAGAAAAGAAGCUCGAAUCUGAACUUCAACUACGAAAUUCUUACUGCAUUGACUCUCAAUUGAAGCUCGAAAGCUCUAAUACCAUGUUAAGUUUGAUAAUUCUGGAUCAAUGCAGGAUCCAUGGAUGAGAGCAACAUUGAGAGGAAUUGUAACGACCCUAAAAACGAACUAGUGAAACUAGAGCCUCACAUGUGAAUUUGGAGUUGAGAACUUGAUGAAAUGAUGAGAAAUGACCGUGACGUCCGGAAACUAGUCAUUUGAACUAGUGAGUUGUAAGGGUCAACUUUAAAUGAUCAUAUCUUUUAGCUCAAAAUGAAUUAGGUGGAACUUUACGUAUCCAAUUAAAGGUCUCUGAAUCCUCUUUCCAACGCCACCGAGUUUGCCCAAUUCCGACCUUGGAUUAAAAAUUUAUGCCCGAAAUAUUAAAGCACUGCCAGGCUGCAACAAAGGGCGAACUAAGACGGGAAUGGGCACAAUUUUUAAGGUCAAGACUUUAUGGGUCCUUAGUCCUUUUCCAAAAUUGACCCUAUGCUAUUCUUUCCUUCCUAGCAACUAUAAGACCUUUUUAUGACCCAAUUCCUUUCAUUUAGGUCACUCCUCUUAGAAUUAAAAAGAAACCCACCUCCUCUCAAAUAUAUCUUUCUCUACAAUCCUCCAUUGAAGAAGGUGAAGAACUAGGAGCUAGGGUUUGACGAUUUUAAGGUGGUUCUUUCUCAAAUUUCUUGGGGAUUCUUAGUUAAGGAAUGGAAACUCUUUAUCUUUGAUUCCAUUUCUAAUCAAAGAGCUAAUUCAAAGUAUUUUCAAAGUUCUUCAAAAAUCCUAAAAUCCUAAUUUCGAUUCUAGCAUGGGUUCUUGCAUAAAAAGGUUUUAAAUGAUGAUUUAUAUAGUUAUUAAUGAUUAUUAAUGGUUUUUAGAAAGAAAUCUCCAUGAACCCAUGUUUUCUCAAAUUCUCUAAAUUUCACCAUAAAGUGGGUGUAUUGAUUUUGAAUAGAUGAUUAUAGAAUUGUGUUUAGUAUGGUAUGGGCUGUUCAUAUAUGGUAUCAUAUAUGUGAAUUGUUAAGAAUUUUUAUUGAAUUGAAGGAUGUGGGAUGUUGGCCUUGAAUGGGCAAAAAAAUUGUGAAUUUGUCUUCAUGUUGAUUAUGGGCUUAUGCUUAGCUUAAAUGGUAUAGUUNNNNNNNNNNNNNNNNNNNNNNNNNNNNNNNNNNNNNNNNNNNNNNNNNNNNNNNNNNNNNNNNNNNNNNNNNNNNNNNNNNNNNNNNNNNNNNNNNNNNNNNNNNNNNNNNNNNNNNNNNNNNNNNNNNNNNNNNNNNNNNNNNNNNNNNNNNNNNNNNNNNNNNNNNNNNNNNNNNNNNNNNNNNNNNNNNNNNNNNNNNNNNNNNNNNNNNNNNNNNNNNNNNNNNNNNNNNNNNNNNNNNNNNNNNNNNNNNNNNNNNNNNNNNNNNNNNNNNNNNNNNNNNNNNNNNNNNNNNNNNNNNNNNNNNNNNNNNNNNNNNNNNNNNNNNNNNNNNNNNNNNNNNNNNNNNNNNNNNNNNNNNNNNNNNNNNNNNNNNNNNNNNNNNNNNNNNNNNNNNNNNNNNNNNNNNNNNNNNNNNNNNNNNNNNNNNNNNNNNNNNNNNNNNNNNNNNNNNNNNNNNNNNNNNNNNNNNNNNNNNNNNNNNNNNNNNNNNNNNNNNNNNNNNNNNNNNNNNNNNNNNNNNNNNNNNNNNNNNNNNNNNNNNNNNNNNNNNNNNNNNNNNNNNNNNNNNNNNNNNNNNNNNNNNNNNNNNNNNNNNNNNNNNNNNNNNNNNNNNNNNNNNNNNNNNNNNNNNNNNNNNNNNNNNNNNNNNNNNNNNNNNNNNNNNNNNNNNNNNNNNNNNNNNNNNNNNNNNNNNNNNNNNNNNNNNNNNNNNNNNNNNNNNNNNNNNNNNNNNNNNNNNNNNNNNNNNNNNNNNNNNNNNNNNNNNNNNNNNNNNNNNNNNNNNNNNNNNNNNNNNNNNNNNNNNNNNNNNNNNNNNNNNNNNNNNNNNNNNNNNNNNNNNNNNNNNNNNNNNNNNNNNNNNNNNNNNNNNNNNNNNNNNNNNNNNNNNNNNNNNNNNNNNNNNNNNNNNNNNNNNNNNNNNNNNNNNNNNNNNNNNNNNNNNNNNNNNNNNNNNNNNNNNNNNNNNNNNNNNNNNNNNNNNNNNNNNNNNNNNNNNNNNNNNNNNNNNNNNNNNNNNNNNNNNNNNNNNNNNNNNNNNNNNNNNNNNNNNNNNNNNNNNNNNNNNNNNNNNNNNNNNNNNNNNNNNNNNNNNNNNNNNNNNNNNNNNNNNNNNNNNNNNNNNNNNNNNNNNNNNNNNNNNNNNNNNNNNNNNNNNNNNNNNNNNNNNNNNNNNNNNNNNNNNNNNNNNNNNNNNNNNNNNNNNNNNNNNNNNNNNNNNNNNNNNNNNNNNNNNNNNNNNNNNNNNNNNNNNNNNNNNNNNNNNNNNNNNNNNNNNNNNNNNNNNNNNNNNNNNNNNNNNNNNNNNNNNNNNNNNNNNNNNNNNNNNNNNNNNNNNNNNNNNNNNNNNNNNNNNNNNNNNNNNNNNNNNNNNNNNNNNNNNNNNNNNNNNNNNNNNNNNNNNNNNNNNNNNNNNNNNNNNNNNNNNNNNNNNNNNNNNNNNNNNNNNNNNNNNNNNNNNNNNNNNNNNNNNNNNNNNNNNNNNNNNNNNNNNNNNNNNNNNNNNNNNNNNNNNNNNNNNNNNNNNNNNNNNNNNNNNNNNNNNNNNNNNNNNNNNNNNNNNNNNNNNNNNNNNNNNNNNNNNNNNNNNNNNNNNNNNNNNNNNNNNNNNNNNNNNNNNNNNNNNNNNNNNNNNNNNNNNNNNNNNNNNNNNNACUAAAGUGUAGGGAUUUGGAGAUGAUGACAUGUCAUGGCUAUUUGAUAGGUUUCUAAGUGUUGAAGAUGAAGACUUGGUGAGUCCUCAUAGAUUCGAGGACAAUACCCAAUAUGUUCUUUUAUGUCUUUUUAGUAUUGUUUAAGUUGUGUACGGGAUUAGUCCCGAAAUUUGUACUCUAAAGUAUUAGAUGGUUUUGAGACAUCAUGUAUAAAGUCUAGAAAGUCUUCCGCUUGCUAUUUUUUUUUAUGCAAUGUUUUCUUGGUAAAGAAAGUUUUAAAUUCCUUAUGGUUUUAGUGUCUAUGCGAUGAAUGAAUGCUAAGUGGCUUGUAUUAGACCUCUUCGAGGUCGAGUACGCCGGUUACGACUAGGGGGUGCUCCCGGGUCGUGACAGGAAUGAAAAGAAUUAUGUCUAUUGAUUAUUCACAAAAUGUAAUACAGGGAUAUAUAUACAAUCUUAUUGUAACCGACUUGCAUAGCUACUACCUAACUGAUUGCUAUAGUGUAUAACUAACUUCUCUAACAAACUAUUCUGCUCACACUGCUAACAUUGCAAUGUAUAAUGUAACAGCUUGUAACUAACUUCACUAAUGUACACUGAUGCAUGUAUUCAAUUUCUUUACACCCUCCUUCAAGCUAGGAACUAUGAAGACAUUUUUCAUCCCUAGCUUGGACAUAAGAUGCACAUGUGGAGUUCUCCCAAGUGCUUUGGUGAGGAUAUCAGCUGGCUGUUCUGUAGAUGAUAGAUAGGUGGAGAAAAGUUUUAAAUUCCUUAUGGUUUUAGUGUCUAUGCGAUGAAUGAAUGCUAAGUGGCUUGUAUUAGACCUCUUCGAGGUCGAGUACGCCGGUUACGACUAGGGGGUGCUCCCGGGUCGUGACAGGAAUGAAAAGAAUUAUGUCUAUUGAUUAUUCACAAAAUGUAAUACAGGGAUAUAUAUACAAUCUUAUUGUAACCGACUUGCAUAGCUACUACCUAACUGAUUGCUAUAGUGUAUAACUAACUUUUCUAACAAACUAUUCUGCUCACACUGCUAACAUUGCAAUGUAUAAUGUAACAGCUUGUAACUAACUUCACUAAUGUACACUGAUGCAUUUAUUUAAUUCCUUUACAGAGGAUAGUCCACAUGUACCUCCGGAAACGAGAAGAUGGAGGAUCACAAUAACGUAAUGAUAAUAAGCCAUGUAUUUUUUAUUUAUUUUUUUAAGGAUGGAAGGACAUCUGGGUUGUGGAAAUUUACUACUACCGCAAAGAGGUAUUUAUACUAGAAAAGAAAACAACACCGCCGAAAACUAUGGCUGAAAAAAAGUCGUGAAUUAAAUGCAAUGUUUGUAAGCGAUUGGAAGAUAAACUAAGUAUUAAAUGAGUUUGCCCUAAUUAAAUAUAAUUUCAUUUGCAGGAUUAUCAAAUACUUUUGAGUAUAUAUUCCAUAAAGAUGUUUAUUACUAUAAUAACAACUAACACACUAUCUUUAAACCUAUGUGUUCAUUCGUUCUGUUGAUCUAGAUUGUUUCGUCAAGAUUUAGGGGAAAAUAAGUUAUAUAUAUAUAUUUAUAUUUACAAUAAGAGGCUAGGGAAGCAGUUGUUCGUCAACACGCCUGCUUUCCUAGCCAGGAAUAAUAUAGUCAUUUAUAAAACGUUAUGUAAAAAUAAUAUUUCUUUCGUUUCAAAAAGAAUAAUUUUUUAUUAUUUUUAAUCUGUUUAAGGAACAAAUUUAUACAUUUUACAUAACUUUAAUUUAAAAUCACAAAAUUCAAAAGUGUUCUUUAUUUUCUUAAAUUAUAAAGCCCACCCAUAUUUCCCUUUUUGCUUUAUCUCAGCCGGAAAAUGUGGGCCCUUGUUUCUGCCUAUUUCACAUUCUUUUCAAUUUUCAUUUCACUAUCCAACUGUCUUUUAAUAUAUGGACCCCACUCAACUAUUUCCAUUACCUUCUUUUAUUUGUUCCUCAUAACUUCUCCUUUAAUUUUUUUCGCUCCGUUUCUUUUGUGGCAAUUAACUUUUUGAAAUUUAAUUACUUCAUCUAUAUUUUAGCUAUAAAAUAUAUUAGAGGUGUAACUUUUUUAAAAAUAUUAAACUUUUUUAAAAAUUAAUUAACUCUUAAAAUUUUAUUAUUGUCACAUAUAUUUGAACAAGUGUAAUAAUAUAUAUUAUUAAAAAUUACGUAAAAGAUUGAAAAUAUUUUUAAAUGAUGUAAGAAAUUUGAUUGACUAAUUACUAAUUUACUUUAUUACUAAUAUAUAGAAGAGUCUAGGAAGCAGUCGUUCGUCAACAUGUCUGCUUCUUAGACAGGGGUAAUUUGAUAAUUUAAAGUCUAAUUUUGUUUGUGGUUUGCUUUGAUUGUUGGUACAAUUUGCUUCGUAAGUUGGUACCUCAUGAUUUUUCCUUUAAAUUCCCAUUCUGCCUUUUUGUUGAUAAUGUAAUUUGAUUCCAGUACUUUUUUAAAGGCUCAUUUGCCCACCUUUUUUCAAUAACCCCAAUAAUGCAUAUCGGUAAAUAUAAUGAAAGUUGAGCCCUUUAUUCAAUGCCUAAAAAGGCAUAAUGAUGAUGUUAGGACUUGCCUGGAUCCACAUCCCAUACGAUGUAAUGUUUAGUGAUAUUAUACUUCAUUCGUGUCAAUUUACGUGACAUGAUUCAAAUUGUAACACUCCGACUUUUUGAAACGUCUAAAAUUACUCAUAUCUCCAUGGAAAGACAAGGAGGAUGGGUAAUAAAUUAAGAAUUAUGUGGUAUGUCCUAUUUUAAGUGUUCAAGUGUUGCAUCUCAAGUUUUGAAGUUAGGGAAGUGGCAAAAUAAAAGUUGACGGAAGUUAUCGUAAGUUCCUUCUUAAAGAUUUCUCUGAAAUUUAGGUCAAAUGUAUUGGAGGUUUUCUCCCAAUCUAUAAAGACUUAUGGGGUUCACGACCUAUCGAAUCGAAGGUCUACGAGUCUAGUUUCCAACGCAUCAAAUUGUUCGUUCAUACGACUUCAGAAUAGAGAGAUAUUUGCAUUUUCCUGGGACUGCGCAAGCAGGCAUGUGAAGUGGGGCCCUAGGUUCGUUCAUACGACUUGCACUCAUUCACCAUGCUCAAAAUUUGCAAUUUUCAUAGCCCGCAUGCAAACCCAAAACAUGAAAAGGAAAAAGAUUAGUAAUAAUAACAAAUAGAUUAAUUAAAAAAAAAAAAAGAAAAAAAAAAGAAUUACUUGAAUCAGUGAUCGCGAUGAAACCACUGCUUUUGAACCAACAGGAUACAGUUUGUGGGUUUGCCUUAUAAUACAGGUUCAUAACCAUAAAUGCAUGGUUAAUAACAGUAUUAGGCUCAAAACAGGAUCCGUGGAGUUUUAUUAGAGAGCAGUCAGGCAUCCCCUUGUCAUUACAGACAAACAUAUAGAGGAUUAGAAGGACAAAUGCGUGAUAAGUCAUGGAUGCCUAAAGUGUAAAGUAGAACCCAACUAGUAACAUUCAUUCAUUAUACAGUAAUUGAUAUGAGAGUCGUUUGGUUUUUAGUAAAUACACGUGCUAAUUGACACGAGAUGCAUAUGAGAAACACAAAAUAUACAUGUGAUGCACGUGAGACGCACAAAAUACACGUAUGAUGCACAUGUGACACACGAGAUGCACAUGCAACACAUACAAAUACUUAUUUUACUCAAUAUACUUUAGACAUUUACUUAAGGGUAGACUUUAAGUCACCAAUUUCAUUAAAUCAUUCUAAAAUACCUCUCUUUUUUAUAAUUUAGAGGCUACCCUCUCCUUUUUCGUUAUAGUUUCCGACAAUGUUAUUUUUUUUCCUCCUAUAAAUACCUCCUUAGUAUUAGUAAAUUGUCACAGACGUCCUUUUAUCAGUACAUUCUUAAAAAAUGCAUUUUAAGAAUGUCAUCUUUUUUACUUUGUAGUUAUACUUUCUUCGAAUAAGAAAACAAGAAUCAAUCUGUACGAACUAGAUUAAUUAACUACUCAAGUUGCUCUAUUUUUGCUUACAUGUGUAGUAAAUCUAUACAAAUCAAAUGCACAAUGUAUUCUAGAAACUAUGAUAAGUUAUUGGAGGAGUAAGAAAUUAUAUUUAUCUAUACACUACAAAUAUAUCUAUAAAUUAUUCUCAUUUCUUAAAUGACGUGUAAAAAUUGUAUUACCUUCUUUUUCAGUAUUGACUUGAUACAUUUUUAAAAAAGUAAUAUAUAAAAUGAUAAUUUUAUUAUAUUAUACAUGUUUAUUAUUAGUUGAGAAAUGAAUUGAAAUACGAGAACAGCUAAGUGACCACAAUUAUUUGCCUCAAAUAUGAUCCCAAAUAUAAAAAAAAGAUCAUAAUUAUAACAUUUUCUUUUCAAAGCAAAGUCUUUGCUAGUGUUUGAAUUGACUUAUUUUUAGUAUUUUUUUAAAUGAUCUGAAAAGUGUAAAAAGUCAAAAGCUAAAAGUUGAGCGUUUUCAUUUAAAACGAGUCAAUCCUAUUGAGUUAGUUAAUUAACUAAUUAGUUGAUAUGUUCACAUCAUCAUUAGUCAGUUAGUUUGUUAUACUGUUAGAGCAAGUCAGGGUUAGUUAGAUCUAUAUAAAUAGAAUGUACUCAGUUGUAAUAGUUAGUUCUAUUCAUUCAAUUCAAGAAAAUCAGUUUCUCUGUCAUUUUCUCUCAUACUCCUUCAAUGGAGUUCUGUAGUUCUUCGGCAUAUUAGUUGAACCUCUUAUCCUUGAUCACCUCUUUCACAUGGUAUCAGAGCCUUGUUGCUCUUACUGGAUUCGUCGUCUCUGUUUUCCGAUAGUGUCAAUUUGUCUCUCCGUUGCAGUUGUUUAAAAGUUCAUCAGAUCUUGCAGCUAUGGUGGAAGUUACAGAUCCCAAUACUAGUUCUACAGGAAGCAAUGUUAUCGAUGUAAGUAAUCCUCUUUACAUUCAUCCAUCUGAUGGUCCCAGCCUGCCUCUUGUUCAGGUUGUAUUUGAUGGAAUCGGUUAUAGAUCUUGGAGGAGAAGUGUAAUGAGAUCCCUCUCUGUAAAGAACAAGUUAGGAUUCAUUAAUGGUGAGUGUAAGAAACCUGCACUCAAUUCUCCUCAAUAUCGACAGUGGGAAAGAUGUGAUAAUAUGGUCACAUCUUGGAUUCUUAAGUCUCUUGGAAAAGAAAUUGUUGAUAGUGUAGAGUAUGUUUCUGAUGCUCUCGAAUUGUGGAAGGAGUUGGAAGAAAGAUAUGAUCAAACAAAUGGGGCUAAGUUGUUUCAGAUCCAAAAGGAAAUCAAUGAUUUGAGUCAAGGUGUACUUGACGUGACUGUGUAUUAUACUAGGAUGAAGAAGCUGUGGGAAGAAUUGAACAAUCUGAGUGCUAAAGAUCAAUGUAGUUGUGUGUGUAUCUGUGGGGGAAAAGAGAACAUACAUAAGGCAGAGCAGGAUAGGAGACUCAUUUAAUUCCUUAUGGGAUUGAAUGAGGUGUAUACUGUAAUCAGAGGUAGUAUGUUAAUGAUGAAUCCCUUGCCAUCUAUGGCCCAGGCUUUUGCUUUGUUAGUUCAGGAAGAAAAACAAAGGGAAUUCAAGCCAAGUAACCAAAUGUUUGCAGAGGCAUCAGUGAAUUCAUCUAUGCAUGCUAACUCAUCAGGAUCUUCAAGUGGAAGACAACAGCUGUUCAGGACUAAUUUCUCUCCCACCAAUAACUACACUGGCAAACCAAGAUCGUUCUGCGAUCAUUGUAAGAAACCAGGUCAUACUAAAGAGAGGUGCUACAAACUGCAUGGUUAUCCUCAGGCUAGUACCACUGGGAAUGGACAAGGUAACAAUGGAUAUAACAACCAAGACAGGUACAAUAAUAAUCAAAGGCCACAAUACAAUAAUCAGUUUCACAAAUCUGCUAAGGGAAAAGGGAUAGCAACAAAUGCUUUUGGUAUAGAUACUGAAUCUAACACAGGAAACACAGCUGAAUCCUCCAAUUCUGGUCCCAAUCUUACCAAGGAUCAGUAUGGACAAAUCCUCAAUUUGCUGCAACAUUUCCAGUUGGGAUCUGCAGGAGAUGCUGUUGAAGAUCAGCUUCUAAGUGGUGCUGCAAAUUUUGCAGGUAUGAUUAGCUUGUAACUCAUCUGUUGAUUUUGACAAACUUUCAUGUGGGUGUUUCAAAUCAAAGACUGACUUAUGGAUACUAGACUCAGGGGCCACACAUCACAUGACCUACAAUAAGACCCAUCUUUCUGAUAUCAUUCUCUUACCAUAUCCUUUGUUAGUUAGCUUGCCCAAUGGAUACAAGGUGAAGGUAACUGAAGUUGGAAAUGUAAACCUUACAUCAAAGAUUACAUUGCAUAAAGUCCUUUUCAUUCCAUCUUUCAAAUAUAACUUGAUUUCCAUCAAGUCUUUAACACUUCAUCUUAAAUGUCUUGUUUCUUUCUCUAAUUCCUCUUGUAUACGGCAGGGCCCUUCAAUGAAGAGGCCUCUGGAAAUUGGUAGAGUACAAGAUGGACUUUAUCUGCUUUGCUCAACAUGUCUGAAAAAAGGCUGCUCCAACACUUCUUUGAAAACCUCAAGUCAAUGUGCUAGUUUGCAUAGUACUGCUAAAGGCCAUAAGUGCCCUUUGUCUACUGUUUCUUCUUCUUCAUGUCAUAUUGUUCCAUCUGUAAUGAAUAUUACUCAUAAUGAAAAUAAUUUUGUUCCAAUACCUAGUCUAUCUCAUUCUUCUAGUUUGUCUCGUGAAGUUAAUACCAAUACAGACCUCUUGUGGCACCACAGACUUGGACAUGUUCCUUUUGUAAAAAUGAAGAGUAUACCCUCAAUUCCUGUGAAGUUCUCCCCUAAGCAACCCGUUACCUGUACCAUAUGUCCAAUGGCAAGGCAAAAUAGAUUGCCAUUUCCUACCAGGAAUGAUAAAACUACCAAGAUUUUUGAGCUGCUCCAUGUGUACUUAUGGGGACCAUAUCAUGUGGCAACCCAUGAUAAUUUUAGAUAUUUUAUCACCUUAGUUGACGACUUUAGCAGAUCCACUUGGACUCACUUGUUAAGCUGCAAGAGUAAUGCACUGCACAUUAUCAAAUCAUUUGUUAAUAUGGUUGAGACUCAAUUCAAAACCACCAUAAAAACCAUAAGAACAGAUAAUGGACUAGAAUUUGUAAACCAAGAAUCCACCCUCUUCUUUCAAUCAAAAGGAAUCAUUCAGCAAAAGUCAUGCCCCUACACACCACAACAAAAUGGUGUAGUAGAAAGAAAACACAAAUAUCUCCUAGAAACUGCUAGGGCACUCCUUUUUCAAUCCAAACUACCCAUUAAGUAUUGGGGAGAGUGUAUACUCACAUCAACCUUCAUCAUUAAUAGACUUCCCUCUACUGUUCUUCAGAACAAAUGCCCAUUUUCUUUACUGUAUAACCAAGAGCCUCAAUAUUCUCAAAUGAGAAGUUUUGGGUGCCUAUGCUAUCCUACCAUUCCCAAAUCCCAUAGAACCAAAUUUGAUCCAAGAGCAACCCCACAUGUGUUUGUAGGUUAUCCAUUUGGGACAAAAGGUUAUAGAGUACUAAAUCUGGCUUCUAACAAGAUUUCUGUGUCUAGGGAUGUUACCUUUCAUGAGACAAUCUUCCCUUUCUCUAUGACUCAAUCAUUAGAUGGUCAUGUUCCUGGUUUUGAUUAUCUUACUCCUACAAUUGUUCUUUCUGAUAACAUUCAGUGUAAUCCUGAAUCUGAUAAUGAUAAUAUGCAAUGUGAUCCUGAUCAUAUGGACAUUACAGUUCCAACUGAGUUACCACCACCACUUGUUCCUCCUUCUCCCUCACCAGACCACAUUCCAUCUGUUAGAAAGUCUGCUAGAAUACACAAAACACCAGCCUAUCUAAAUGAUUACCUAUGCAAUAUACCUCAUUCUACAACUACAUUACCACCUCAUUCACUACAUGCAUCAUUUUCUAAUCACCAUCAUAUUGCCUCAAAGCUUCUGUAUCCUGAUAGCCAGUCUCUUGUGUUGAGUAUCUCACAUGAAAGUGAGCCAUCUUCAUAUGAUAUAGCAGCUAUGGAUCCUGCAUGGCAGACAGCUAUGGCACAAGAACUUUCUGCCUUACACGAUAAUGAUACUUGGGUUCUCAUGCCUCUACCCCUUGGAAAGAAAGCUAUUGGGUGUAGAUGGGUAUAUAAGAUCAAACACAGAGCUGAUGGUAGCAUAGAAAGGUACAAAGCUAGGUUGGUUGUUAAGGGUUAUACUCAGCAUUAUGGAGUGGACUACACAGAGACUUUUUCACCUGUUAUUAAGAUGACGACUGUGAGAGCUCUAAUUGCCACUGCUGUAAAGAAACACUGGAAUGUUUAUCAAUUGGAUGUGAAUAAUGCAUUUCUCCAUGGGGAGUUAGAUGAAGAGGUUUACAUGGAUAUUCCACCAGGCUUGGAUAUUCAGACUAAAGGAUUAGUUACGUUUGUAAGCUCAAUAAGUCAUUGUAUGGUCUAAAACAGGCUAGUAGGCAAUGGUAUGCUAAGUUGUCUGAAGCUCUCAGUUCCAGAGGAUACACUCAUUCCUUAAAUGACUAUUCUCUAUUUUAUAGGAAAAAUGGUUCAUCUACUGUCUUCAUAGCUGUGUAUGUGGAUGAUAUCCUAUUGACAGGUACUGAUCUUGAAGAAAUUGAUAGUCUCAAAGGCUUUCUCCAUAAUCAAUUCAGAAUUAAAGAUUUGGGGAAACUGCAUUAUUUCUUGGGGUUGGAAAUCCUUUACACUGAAGCUGGAUUGCUCAUUUCACAAAGGAAAUUUGUGCUUGAUCUUCUCAAAGAGUACCAUUGUUCUGAACUUUCCAGCCUCACCUCACCACUAGAUGUGACAGUCAAGCUCAAGGCAAAUGAGGGGAAGCCUAUUUCUGAUCCUAGUGCAUACAGAAAAUUAGUUGGGAAACUUAAUUUCUUAAUUAAUACCAGACUAGAUAUUGCUUAUGGAGUUCAGCACCUUAGUCAGUUCAUGCAAGACCCCAGAGAACCACAUAUGAAAGCAGCGUACCACAUGUUGAGGUAUCUCAAGAAGGAUCCCACCUUAGGAUUGCUUAUGACAUCUACUGAUGAUUACAAUGUACAGGCUUUUUGUGACUCAGAUUGGGGUGCUUGUCCUGAUUCCAAAAAGUCCAUCACAGGGUAUAUUGUGCUGCUUGGUUCCAGUCCUAUAAGCUGGAAAUCUAAGAAACAGGAAACUAUAUCUCUUUCCUCAGCUGAGGCUGAAUAUAGAUCCCUUCGAAAGGUGGUUGGAGAGUUGGUUUGGUUAGACAGAUUAUUUGGAGAGCUUACUAUUCCUAGAAGCAGACCUUUUCCUAUCUUUUGUGAUAGUCAAUCAGCUCUACAGAUUGCCAGAAAUCCUGUAUUCCACGAAAGGACCAAACACAUUGAGAUCGAUUGUCAUUUUGUGCGAACCAAGCUACAAGAAGGUCUUAUAUCACUGCAUCAUAUUGGAACUCAUGACCAACUGGCUGACAUCCUUACUAAGGCUCUUACAGGAGUCAAACAUUCAGUAGUUUUGGACAAGUUGGUUGUGCUGGUCUCACCUCCAACUUGAGUUAGUUAAUUAACUAAUUAGUUGAUAUGUUCACAUCAUCAUUAGUCAGUUAGUUUGUUAUACUGUUAGAGCAAGUCAGGGUUAGUUAGAUCUAUAUAAAUAGAAUGUACUCAGUUGUAAUAGUUAGUUCUAUUCAUUCAAUUCAAGAAAAUCAGUUUCUCUGUCAUUUUCUCUCAUACUCCUUCAAUGGAGUUCUGUAGUUCUUCGGCAUAUUAGUUGAACCUCUUAUCCUUGAUCACCACUUUCACAAAUCCAAACACCGAUAAUUUGACAAAUAGACUCUAUAGAUUCCACCUAUCAAAGCAUUUUAUGGUCUCAUACCUUCUUCAAUCCUUUAUUCUUGUUCUUUUUUUCUUUUAUUUUUUCCAGUUUAAGAGCACGGUGUCAUGACUGUCAUAUCAUCAUGUCACUUAGGCGUCGCAUGGCAUAAAGUUAUCAAUGUGAAAGCUUGCAUAGACAAAAAAAAAACUAGUUAUUAGUGUAAGCUUCCUCCACAGUUCUAGAUUUAUGAGAUUUAAUUUCAGAUUCUUCAUGUAUAAAUAAUUAAUAUACUAAAGACUUUAUAAUAUGAUUCAAACACUCUAUGUAUCAAAAUAAAAUGAAAUAAUUAUACUUCAUGAAAUUUCUUCAUAAUUAAAUACAUUCAAUUAUAAUUAUUAAACGACAAAUUAAAAUCAUAAACAGAUUAAUUUUUUGAAGUAAUAUGGAUCUAGCUUAGCCAUUGGGGUCGAUGAGCCCAACCAAACCGGCUAUCAAAAAACGACCUUUUUUAACCUAUCUUUUUUUUUUCUUCCUUAUGAAAGAUUAUUCUUUAAUCUAGAUUAUUUUUCUAAAAAAAGACUUCAAUUAAGAUUUCAAUAUUUGAGAAUAUUUCAAUGGGUUCAAAAUAAAACUCCAACAUCAGAACCUUGACAUAUACUUACUCUGUUUUAUAUUAUUUGGCUAUUAUUGAUGCCAAUUAGGCGUGGAAGUUUAUAAAUUGUGAUUUCAAUUAUUUCGAAUGUGGAUACUUAAUAUUCCUACUAAGGGUAGCAAAAAAAAAAGGAAAGAAGGAAAUUGUUUUUAAUUUUUAAAAUUAGACAAGCAAAAUGAAAUAUUUAUUUCCUCUUUAAUUUUUAAAAUUGAACGAGUAAAACGAAACAUUUAUUUUUACAAGACACGGGUUCUAAUUUGCCCAUUUAUAAAACCUGUUCAAUUUGCACAUGUCGGAUUCUAAUUAAUGUACUUGUUUAAGGAUAAUUAAGAUGGAUGUUGUUACCUAAUUAUUACUCAUUCGAAUGUUAGGUCAGCUUAGACUACAGUCAGAAAAAAAGGACAAAUAAAUGAUUUUGAAUGUAUUGUAAAAUUUUAUAAUGUAUUUUGGAAUAAACUAUUUCUUAAUAGAUUAAUUGGAAAAAUUUUACCAUGCAUAGGCACAAGUAUGAUGUGGCAGACAAAAAUUGUAUAAGGCCCAUUUAUAUUUUGCCAAGUGGAUCCAUUUCAGAAAAAUGGCCAAAUUCAUCUUUCUCACUCUACCUUUUAACGUUUUCUUUUUCUCUUUCUUACUUUUUUCCUUUAGUUUCUUUUCUAACAAUUCUUCCAAAUUUUAUAUUUCCACUUAAAUAACUUUAUUCAUGAAAAAUAUGAAAUACAAAAAAUCUUGCCGGAUUCAUUCUAUUUCUAACAUUUUGAUAUUAUUUUUUAUCUCAAUAUUGAUUAUUUAUAUUAUUAAAAAUAGUUAUAUAAAAUUAUUUGUUUAUUUACAAAGAUAUAAUUAAUUUCAAUUUUUCUAUUUUAUUAUAACAAUUAAUUAUUUUUGAAAGUAUAAAUAAAAUUUAUAAAUUUACCAAAAAAAAUUAAGGUAUAAAUUAGUAAAACUAUUAUUCUAUUAUGAUUUCUUAAGAAAUUUGUAAAAGAAAAAGUAGAUUAUUAAUAUGAAAAAUAAAGAAGGUACAAAUUUAAUAAGUUAUUUUAUUUUUCUCUCAACAAUUUCAUAAUCCAAAAGCACUUCAAUCCACAAAAUACUCUUCAAUAAGUAAAUAUAACGGAAAGAACAUCAAUGAUCUUGACAAACAAUUGCAUAAGUUUUGAUACUAUUGUCAUGAAAUUCAAAAACGAAAAACAUCCAUAAACAUCAACACAAAUACAUAUUAUUUUCAUCAAUUUAUACGAUAUUUUUAUUCUUAAAUUCAAUCUAGGUGAAAUUUAAUAAAUAUUGUUUAUCUACUUUUCUUAUACAUUUCUUAAGAAAUUAUAAAUAUAAACAAUAGUUUUAAUAAUUUAUUCCUUAAUAGAAUUUUUGCAAUUUUACAAAAUUUAUUUUAUAAUUUAAAAAAAAUUAAUUGUUAGGAUUAAAAAAAUUACUUAUAUCUUGAUUUUAUAAACUAAAAAAUAAAUUUCAAACAACUAUUUAUUAUAAUAGAAUAAUUAACCUAGAAUAGAAAAAAUAAUAUUAAAAUAGUAAACUAAAAACUUAUAUAAUGAUCGUAAAAUUUAUAUUAAAAUUCAAUACGUAAAAAAAGAAAAGCAUAAACUAAUAAGAUCAGCAAAUAAAAUUCUUAAAAGAUUUGAUCAACUUAAUCUUAAAGAAGAAAAAAAUAUUAAAAAGAUUAAAACACAAUAUAUUGAACAAGGGGCAUAAAACCAAAAAAAUGACAAAAGGGACUUAAAAAUGUCCCCUUUAUUAGCUUGGCAAAUGGGUCGCAUCCAUAUCCAUUUGUCAAUCAAAUAAUGCCUCAUACAAGUAUGACAUGGCGUGCCUCAUAUAUAAUAAAUUUUUUGGAUCAAUUGUAUAGCAAAGAACUAAAACUACCAGGAAAAAAAAAUCAUGAUGUGAAAGGUUGAUUUAGACGUGUUCACAUUGAACUUUAUUUGAUUCAUUUGUUAACCACUGAUUCUAUUUUUAACUUCUCGAUUCAAUCUAUUCAUUUGACGCCCAUAGAAUUUUUAGUAGGCCUAUCAAUUUAAAAUUGCUUGAAGUUGUUCUAUCUUGUUGGCUGUGUUUUGAUGACUUAUAACAUGAGAUAAAAACCCAGCUCUAAUUAGUGUGUCGACUUCAGAACUGAUAAAACUCAAUAUUGAGCAUGAAGAUCCACCAUUAAUGGUGGAUUCUAGCACAUACUGAUUCAGUCAGUUAGAGAGGAUCAAUUGAGAAGAUAGACUUUUCUCAUUUCUGAAUGAUAAAAUCAACUGUAAACUGCAUACAAUGUGUCACAUUUAUACAACUUGAUAGAAUCUAGAAAGUUCCUAAUCAAAGCAUAAACGGAAAUCUAACUAACUAACAAAAUCUGUUAACUAACUAACUCUGUGAAACUUUACUGUUAAUUGACUAACUCUGUGAAGUUAACUGUUAACUAACUAACAUAAUUAAUCUCAACACCCCCCCUCAAGUUGGAAGUGAGGUAAUCACAGCCAACUUGUUCAGCAUAGCAGUAUGUUUGAUUCCAGUUAAGGCUUUUGUGAGAAUGUCGGCCAACUGAUCACAUGUGUUGAUGUGAUAAAGUGAAAUUAAGCCUUCUUGGAGCUUGGAUCUGACAAAAUGGCAAUCCACUUCAAUGUGUUUGGUCCUCUCGUGGAACACGGGUUUCUUGGCAAUAUGGAGAGCAGCCUGGCUAUCACAAUACACAGGGGAAGGACCAAUGGGAGGAACAGUUAACUCAGUAAACAAACGAUGCAGCCAAACUAGUUCGCCAACCACUUUUCUUAGUGACCUGUACUCAGCUUCUGCUGAUGACAAUGAAAUGGUGUCCUGUUUCUUGGAUUUCCAGCUGAUAGGACUGGUGCCCAGUAAAACAAUAUAGCCACUAACAGACCUCCUAGAAUCAGGGCAAGACGCCCAAUCAGAAUCACAGAAAGCCUGUAUACCAAAAUCAGGAGAAGCAGACAUAAAAAUACCCAAAGUAGGGUCUUUCUGAAGAUAUCUUAACAUAUGAAAUGCAGCUUUGAGGUGAGGUUCCCUUGGGUCUUGCAUGUAUUGACUCAAGUGUUGUACCCCAUAGGUGAUAUCAAGUCUAGUAUGAGUAAGAAAAUUUAACUUUCCAACCAAUUUUCUAUACAAAGUGGGAUCAGGCAAAGGUUCUCCUUCAUGAGCUUUGAGUUUAACGGUAGGAUCCAGGGGAGAUGUUACAGGAGUGAGACCAUUAACAUGAAAUUCUUUAAGGAGGUCCUGAACAAAUUUCCUUUGGGAUAUGAGUAUUCCAUCAUUCUUGUACAGAAUUUCUAAUCCUAGAAAAUAGUGCAGCUUACCAAGGUCCUUGAUUUUGAACUGAUCAUUGAGGAAACUUUUGAGACUAGUGAUUUCCUCAGUAUCUGUUCCUGUUAUAAGAAUGUCAUCCACAUAGACCCCCAGGAAAACAGUAGAGUGCCCUUUUUUUCUAAAAAAUAAAGAGUAAUCAUGUAGUGAAUGAGUAUUUUCUUGGCAAUAUGGAGAGCAGCCUGGCUAUCACAAUACACAGGGGAAGGACCAAUGGGAGGAACAGUUAACUCAGUAAACAAACGAUGCAGCCAAACUAGUUCGCCAACCACUUUUCUUAGUGACCUGUACUCAGCUUCUGCUGAUGACAAUGAAAUGGUGUCCUGUUUCUUGGAUUUCCAGCUGAUAGGACUGGUGCCCAGUAAAACAAUAUAGCCACUAACAGACCUCCUAGAAUCAGGGCAAGACGCCCAAUCAGAAUCACAGAAAGCCUGUAUACCAAAAUCAGGAGAAGCAGACAUAAAAAUACCCAAAGUAGGGUCUUUCUGAAGAUAUCUUAACAUAUGAAAUGCAGCUUUGAGGUGAGGUUCCCUUGGGUCUUGCAUGUAUUGACUCAAGUGUUGUACCCCAUAGGUGAUAUCAAGUCUAGUAUGAGUAAGAAAAUUUAACUUUCCAACCAAUUUUCUAUACAAAGUGGGAUCAGGCAAAGGUUCUCCUUCAUGAGCUUUGAGUUUAACGGUAGGAUCCAGGGGAGAUGUUACAGGAGUGAGACCAUUAACAUGAAAUUCUUUAAGGAGGUCCUGAACAAAUUUCCUUUGGGAUAUGAGUAUUCCAUCAUUCUUGUACAGAAUUUCUAAUCCUAGAAAAUAGUGCAGCUUACCAAGGUCCUUGAUUUUGAACUGAUCAUUGAGGAAAUUUUUUAGACUAGUGAUUUCCUCAGUAUUUGUUCCUGUUAUAAGAAUGUCAUCCACAUAGACCCCCAGGAAAACAGUAGAGUGCCCUUUUUUUCUAAACAAUAAAGAGUAAUCAUGUAGUGAAUGAGUAUAACCCCUUGAGUUGAGAGCUGCAGUCAAUUUCUCAUACCAUUGUCGACUUGCUUGUUUCAAUCCAUAGAGUGACUUAUUGAGCUUGCAAACCAAACCUGUAUGUGGCACAUCAAGACCUGGAGGUACAUCCAUAUAGACUUCCUCAUUUAAAUCUCCAUGGAGGAAAGCAUUAUUCACAUCAAGUUGGUAUAUGCUCCACUGUUUCUUAGCAGCAAUGGCAAUCAAAACCCGUACAGUUGUCAUCUUAACGACUGGAGAGAAUGUUUCUGUAUAAUCUAUGCCAUGAUGUUGAGUGUACCCUUUUACCACUAGCCUUGCCUUAUACCUUUCUACACUUCCAUCAGCCUUAUGCUUAACUUUAUAAACCCACCUACAACCAACAGAUUUCUUACCAAUAGGCAGAGGCAUGAGAGACCAAGUGUUAUUAUCAUGCAGAGCAGUAAACUCUUGGGUCAUAGCUGUUUGCCAAGCAGGAUCAAGAGCUGCCUCUUCAUAACUGGAUGGCUCACAAUCAUUAGUGAUAUUUAAAGCAAAAACCUGACUGUCAGGAUCUAGAUCUUCAGGAGAUAUGUGGUGAUAUAGAGAAAAACAGGCAGUUAGGGAAGAAGGAUUUAAUGUGGAUUGUUUUGUGUUAGGUGCAGUGCAAACAUAAUCAGAUAGAUAUGAAGGCAAUUUAUGUGCUCGAUUAGAUUUUCUGGUUUCAACAUUGUGUUGUUGGACCGGUUGUGAAGGUGAAAGUGUGGUAGGUUGAGAAGAUGUGGGAGUGUCAAUGAGAGAAUGGGAAGAUGAACAUGGAGGUUCAGGAGACAUUGGAGGAUUUGUGUUACAUGACAUGCUUUGAUCACACUGGACAGGAGAAUUAGAUGAGGAGUAAGAAGCGGGGUCAACAAAAAAUGGAGAUUGAAUAGGAGAGGAAGGAAAAGAAGUAGGAUCUGCAGAUAAAGCAAAAGGGAAAAUUGUUUCAUGAAAGGUCACAUCUCUAGAGACAUACAACUUCUUAGUGGCCAGACUCAUUACCUUGUAUCCUUUUGUGCCAAAGGGGUAUCCAACAAAAACAUGUGGAGAUGUCCUAGGGUCGAACUUAGAUCUUUGUGAUUUAGGGAUGGUUGGGUAACAUAGGCAUCCAAAACUUCUCAGGUGUGAGUAAAGAGGCUUCUGGUUAUAUAACAACUCAUAAGGGCAUUUAUUUUUAAGGGGUGUUGAAGGCAGUCGAUUGAUGAUGUAUGUAGCAGCUAAUAUACACUCACCCCAAUAUUUUGUUGGUAAUUUGGACUGAAAAAGAAGUGCCCUGGCAGUUUCAAGUAUGUAUUUGUGUUUUCUUUCCACCACACCAUUUUGUUGAGGUGUGUAUGGACAGGAUUUUUGGUGAUGAAUGCCUUUGGAUUGGAAGAAUAGGAUGGACUCAGUAUUGGUGAACUCAAGACCAUUGUCUGAUCUGAUUACCUUUAUGGUGGUUUUGAAUUGGUUCUCAACCAUAUUGGUGAAGGCUUUAAUAACAUGUAGAGCAUUGCUUUUGUGACUGAGUAGGUGUGUCCAAGUUGACCUACUGUAGUCAUCUACAAAGGUAAUAAAGAAUCUAAAUUUAUCGUGUGUGGGUAUUUGGUAUGGUCCCCACAAAUCAACAUGCACUAAUUCAAAUAUAGUAGAGCUUCUGUGAAUACUUGGCUGAAAAGGUAGUUUGGUUUGUCUUGCCAUAGGACAAAUGGGACAAAGGAAAGGUUGUUUGGGAGAGAAGUCCACAGGGAUUGAUGGUAUACCUUUCAUUUUUACAAAAGGAACAUGGCCGAGUCUAUAAUGCCACAAGAGGUCUGUACUGUCAGGCUUUAAUAAACUAGAACCAACACUCACAUCAGCUGAAACAACAUUGUUCUUAUUAUCAGAUAAGGAGUUCAAUACAUUUUGAUGAAGUGAACAAGAAUGGGAAUUACAUUUGCAACACAUUUUAUCAUGUCUAUGAAGGGAAAAACAAGAAACAGGAUCCUUUGUUGAGGUAGGAUGAUUACUCUUUUGGAGACAGUUGGAGCACAAGAGAUACAAGCCAUCAUGCACUUUACCAACUUCCAGAGGCCUCUUCAGUGAAGGGGCCUGCAGAAGACAAGAGGUGUUAGUGAAAAAACAAUACACUUGAGGUGCACUGUUAGAGAGUUGACUGAAAUCAAGUUAUAUUGGAAAGAAGGGAUGAACAAAACAUUGUACAGUGUGAUCUGUGGUGUCAGCUGCACAUUUCCAACUUCUGUGACCUUAACCUUGUAUCCAUUAGGUAGUCUAACUAAUAAGGGAUAUGGUAGUGUAAACACAUUUGUGAGGUGAUGCUUGAUAAAGGUCAUAUGGUGUGAUGCUCCUGAAUCUAUAAUCCACAGGUCAGGUUUUGUUUUAUAACAUUCACAUGAGAGUUUGUCAAAAGUUACAGAAGAGGUACAAGCAGUGAUACCUGCAAAGUUCACCGCUGAAUUAGUCAUAUUGCCAGAGUUCUCUGUUGUAUUGAGUGUUUGAAACUGAUGGAGUAGAUAAGCAAGUUGAUCACAUUGUUCCUUAGAGAUGCCAAUAUUUGAGCUGUCUUGAUUGUUGACUUGAUUUUCAGAUCCAUUCCCCUGUUCCAUAUUGAGACCACAAGAUAAUCCUGCAGAGUUAGCUACCACACCUUUACCUUUGUUGUUGUACCUGUAACCAUUAUUUGCUUGCCCAUAAUUUUGUUGCCUGUGGGAUUGAUUGUAAUCUGGUUGUCCAUAGUUCUGUGGUCUUUGAGAUCUAUUGUUCCCAUUGUAGGAAUUCUGUGGGUAUCCAUGUAGCUUAUAACAUUUUUCUUUGAUGUGACCUGGUCUCUUACAGUGAUCACAGAAAGGUCUGCCUCUGUGAGAAGAAGAAGAAGAGUAAUUGGGUUUGAAAGCCCUACUUCCUGAAGUGCCUGAAGUAUUAGCAGCAAAAAUGCCUCCUGACGAUGUGCCUGAAGUACUAGCAUGAAGAGAACUGGAUUCAGCAAACAAUUGAUUAUUUGGCUUAAACUCUCGUUGUUUCUCUUCCUGAAUCAAUAGGGCGAAAGCUUGUGCCAUUGAUGGAAGAGGAUUCAUCAUUAAUAUGUUUCCUCUGAUUAUUGUGUAAACUUCGUUUAAUCCCAUGAGAAAUUGAAUUAACCUCCUAUCCUGUUCGACUUUGUGCAUAAGAUCCUUUGCUCCACAAGUACAUGCACAUUUGCAGUGACUCUUUAUGCAUAAACUGCUCAAUUCCUCCCAAAGUUUCUUCAUCCUAGUGUAGUAAGUUGUGAUAUCCAAAACGCCUUGAACGAGAUCAUUGAUUUCCUUUUGAAUCUGAUAUAACUUGGCACCAUUAGUCUGAUCAUAACGAUCUUCCAAAUCAUUCCAUAGUUCCAAAGCAUUGUCUACGUAUUCGACACUAUCAGCAAUAUCUCUGCUUACCUAAGUAUACCUCUUCUCCAGGAUCGAUAUCCAAUCCCAUCGAAAGGAACUGGUACAAGAGAAGCACCUGGACUAUCAGAUGGAUGUAGGUACAAAACACUACCUACUUCAAUCGUUUUAGUAACCCCUAGAUCAGUGACUUCCACCAUUGUAACAGAUCAGGAAAAAAAAAUUGAAGAAGCGAACAGUGAAGAAGGCGACGAACAGCAACGAGAGAGAGAAAAAAAAAAAAUUUGAUGCGAUCGGAGGAACCUGAAACAACUGGAGCAGCGAUUCUUCAACAAAGAGAUGAGAAAAUCAGGGAUGAUCGAUUCCUUGCUUUGAUACCAUGAUAAAACUCAAUAUUGAGCAUGAAGAUCCACCAUUAAUGGUGGAUUCUAGCACAUACUGAUUCAGUCAGUUAGAGAGGAUCAAUUGAGAAGAUAGACUUUUCUCAUUUCUGAAUGAUAAAAUCAACUGUAAACUGCAUACAAUGUGUCACAUUUAUACAACUUGAUAGAAUCUAGAAAGUUCCUAAUCAAAGCAUAAACGGAAAUCUAACUAACUAACAAAAUCUGUUAACUAACUAACUCUGUGAAACUUUACUGUUAAUUGACUAACUCUGUGAAGUUAACUGUUAACUAACUAACAUAAUUAAUCUCAACAAGAACAUCUUGUAAUUUUAAAUAAAUUAAUUUAAAAAAUUCUCACUUGAGAACUAUUUAUUUGCACUAAGGGUGUGCAUUCGAUUUUUCGGUUUGGUUUUACACUAUUCGAUUUGGAUUUUCGGUUUUGUAAAAGUGUAACCCAAUCCGAUCAAAAAUAAAUUUGGUUUGGUUUGGUUUUCCUCUAUUCGGUUUGGUUAUUCGGUUAUGUCAAUAAUUAAUAACAUAUAUAACCUAUAACCAAAGUAAUAAUAUUUAAUCCCUUAAAUAUUCUUUCUAAUAUAAAUCAUAAGUAAAACUUAAAACACAAUACUUAUAAGUAUACCUAUUAUAGAUGUUCAAGCAUAAAAUAUAAAUGUAAUCAUCGUGAAAGGCAAUAACCAAAAAGGGACAAAAGUGGUUAACUCCAACUUAAUUCUAAAACUAAACAUUAUAUAUAUAUAUAAUUCGGUUUUUUGGUUUUUAUUUUUUAAAAUCCGAAACCAAACCAAAAAACCAAACAAAGUAAUUUAUUAAUCCAAAACCAAUCCAAAANNNNNNNNNNNNNNNNNNNNNNNNNNNNNNNNNNNNNNNNNNNNNNNNNNNNNNNNNNNNNNNNNNNNNNNNNNNNNNNNNNNNNNNNNNNNNNNNNNNNNNNNNNNNNNNNNNNNNNNNNNNNNNNNNNNNNNNNNNNNNNNNNNNNNNNNNNNNNNNNNNNNNNNNNNNNNNNNNNNNNNNNNNNNNNNNNNNNNNNNNNNNNNNNNNNNNNNNNNNNNNNNNNNNNNNNNNNNNNNNNNNNNNNNNNNNNNNNNNNNNNNNNNNNNNNNNNNNNNNNNNNNNNNNNNNNNNNNNNNNNNNNNNNNNNNNNNNNNNNNNNNNNNNNNNNNNNNNNNNNNNNNNNNNNNNNNNNNNNNNNNNNNNNNNNNNNNNNNNNNNNNNNNNNNNNNNNNNNNNNNNNNNNNNNNNNNNNNNNNNNNNNNNNNNNNNNNNNNNNNNNNNNNNNNNNNNNNNNNNNNNNNNNNNNNNNNNNNNNNNNNNNNNNNNNNNNNNNNNNNNNNNNNNNNNNNNNNNNNNNNNNNNNNNNNNNNNNNNNNNNNNNNNNNNNNNNNNNNNNNNNNNNNNNNNNNNNNNNNNNNNNNNNNNNNNNNNNNNNNNNNNNNNNNNNNNNNNNNNNNNNNNNNNNNNNNNNNNNNNNNNNNNNNNNNNNNNNNNNNNNNNNNNNNNNNNNNNNNNNNNNNNNNNNNNNNNNNNNNNNNNNNNNNNNNNNNNNNNNNNNNNNNNNNNNNNNNNNNNNNNNNNNNNNNNNNNNNNNNNNNNNNNNNNNNNNNNNNNNNNNNNNNNNNNNNNNNNNNNNNNNNNNNNNNNNNNNNNNNNNNNNNNNNNNNNNNNNNNNNNNNNNNNNNNNNNNNNNNNNNNNNNNNNNNNNNNNNNNNNNNNNNNNNNNNNNNNNNNNNUUCGGUUUGGUUAUUCGGUUAUGUCAAUAAUUAAUAACAUAUAUAACCUAUAACCAAAGUAAUAAUAUUUAAUCCCUUAAAUAUUCUUUCUAAUAUAAAUCAUAAGUAAAACUUAAAACGCAAUACUUAUAAGUAUACCUAUUAUAGAUGUAAUUCAAACAUAAAAUAUAAACGUAAUCAUCAUGAAAGACAAUAACCAAAAAGGGACAAAAGUGGUUAACUCUAACUUAAUUCUAAACCUAAUUUUUUCGGUUUUUAUUUUUUAAAAUCCGAAACCAAACCAAAAACCCAAAUAAAGUAAUUUAUUAAUCCAAAACCAAUCCGAAAAUCCAAAAAACCAAUCUAAAUAAAAAUUCGGUUUGAAUUGAUUUAGUUAUUCGGUUUAAUCCGAAUAGUACACACCCCUAAUUUGCACAGUUAUUGUGGCAUUUAUCUUUUAUAUAUUUCGAAUUAGACAUGUAAGUCAAGUUAUCGACUAAAAAAAACAACAAAUUUGGGUCACUGUUUGUCACUCUUUGACCAAAUGUUGAAAGUUUACACGACUAAAAUAAUAUAAAUAUAUUAUUAUUUCAUAUAUUAAGGUUUAAGGAACACUAUUUUGUGUACACUAAGCAAACAUGUGUGCCAACUUGCCAACGAGUGAAAUCCAUUAUAAAUAUUUUUCUCACGUUACAACAGCAGAUAUCAACACCAAAAAUAUGUAAAAAAAAACACAAGAUCCAUAAGGGAAUAAUAUUUUUAAAAAUCUAAAUUGUAAGUGGGAAUGAAUAAUAAAUAUAAUAACAAUUCUCGUCAUUUUAGGGCAUAAUAAUUUUUAGAAUAGGAAUAUAUUAAAGGAAUCCACAUAACUAAAACACCAUAUAAUAUCCAUUAGGAUAGAGUGAGACCACCCUUGAACUUUCCACUUCUUUUGGUUUCCCACAUUAUUAAUCCAGUACCUAUUUUGAAGUCUGAUUAAUUCAGAUUCGCACGAAAAAGCUUUACUUUGGCAGUGAGCUUAUUUAAUCUACAUUCACACUAAAAAGCUUUACUUUGCUAGGUAAAUCUUUCUCUAUCUAAUCGAUUUCAUUUUCCAUUGCUCAAAACCCGAAAAAUCUGAUUAAAAAUAAAGAGUACCGACUACUCCAUUACCACCUUUGGUGGUAUGUAGUCUGUCAACUCAUCUUCUGGGAAUGGAUAACUCAUACUAUAAUAAAUUAAUAAUUCAUCACAUUCAUAUUGGACUCUCCUGCCCAACUUGCAAUUAUUUUUAUUUAUUUUAGAAAUUGCUCGUGACCAUUCCUUGGACCCUAUUCAAUGCGCGUUCUGUACACAAAUUUGUCAUUCUUGUUGUUACAUUAUCAUCUUUCCUUCUUUUCAAUUUAUUUUUCAUUCAUCAUUUUUGGUUUGUUUAUUAGAGUAAUGAUUCUCUUCAUUCAUGACUUUUAAGUACCUGCCCACUAACACACUAGCACGAAAAAAAAAGUGACUAUUGAAAGUAUUUGAAACGUGCACCCAUGGGUGUAGCCUAAUGGUCAGUAAAGUGGUUGAGAGCCCUUUAGGUCUCAGGUUCAAAUCUCAGCGGAGACAAAAAACACUAGGUAAUCUUUCCAUCUAUUCUAACCUUGGUGGGCAUGGUUACGUGGUACCUGUUGCUAGUGGGAGGUGGCAGGUAUCCCAUGGAACUAGUCGAGGUGCGUGAAAGCUGGCAUAGACAUCACCGUAAUAAAAAGAAGUAUUUGAAACCUAUACAAAACCAUUAGUUACAGCCUGUUGGCACUUUAUCAAGUACAUGGUUCAUCUAACAAUUUAAGUUGUAUCAAAGUGAAGUUACCCCUUUCCUCACAAUUCUAUCUAGCUUGCCCAACUCUGCUCUUGCUUCAGAAACCAAUUUCCCUUAUAAUAAAAAAAUAACAAACUGAACUUAACUUCUAGGAUACUUCAGUGAUCUGUCCAUGUGCUACUUCUAGAACAGCCGGAAAAAAAAAACAGUUGGCUCAAUGUAAUGUGAAUGCACAACUUGAGUUUACUAUCUAUUAGGUGGUCAGAAAGAUUUGACAUUUUUUAUGUACUCCUAGGUUUCGAGUAGGAGACGAAAUUCUUGUUGUCUUUUCUUGUGUGGGGGUACAUACAACUUGUUCUUUAACACGGAGCAUCCUAGAUUAGAGGCAUGCUUGGUAUUUUGUAACAAAUUCAUAGAAUGCAAGUCAUUUUCCUUGGUGUGAAUGGAUGACUAGUUGACUGCCACUGAAAGCAGUGAUUCACUGUACGAUUCACUAAGAAAUGUGUAUAAAGGCUUCAUUGUCAGCAUAAGUUUUUUCAGUGAGUGAAGCUUCUUUCUUUUGAAACAAUGAUGUCAAAGACAGUUGUAUAUGCAUUAGCCAUAUUUUCUAUUACCUUUCUCAUACCUCUGUCAUCUGGGCAACAUCCAAGCUUUGAAGUUGAAGUUGCUGCUUUGAAAGCUUUCAAGAGCUCAAUCUCUGACGACCCUUUCGGUGCACUUGUGGAUUGGACGGAUGCAAAUCACCAUUGCAACUGGUCUGGAAUCAUAUGUGAUCCUUCUUCAAGCCAUGUCAUCAACAUUUCGCUUAUUGAGACGCAGCUCAAAGGCGAAAUUUCUCCGUUUCUAGGAAACCUCUCCAAACUCCAGGUUCUUGAUCUAACUUUGAAUUCAUUUACUGGAAAUAUCCCACCCCAGCUGGGGUAUUGCACAGACCUGGUUGAGCUCGUUUUUUACCAAAACUCUCUUUUUGGUGAAAUUCCUGCCGAGCUGGGAAACCUAAAAAAACUGCAGUAUAUAGAUUUUGGAAAUAACUUUCUAAAUGGGAGUAUACCUGAUAGUAUAUGCAACUGCACUGAAUUGUCGUUAGUAGGCUUCAUCAACAACAAUCUCACAGGCAAAUUACCGUCUGAAAUUGGUAAGUUGGCCAAUCUUCAGUUGUUUGUAGCUUAUACAAACAAUUUGGUUGGUUCUAUUCCUACCUCCAUUGGAAUGCUUACAGCUUUGCAAACCCUUGAUCUGAGCGAAAACCAGUUAUCUGGACCUAUACCAUCAGCAAUUGGCAACUUGUCAAGUUUAGGAAUUCUUCAGUUACAUCUCAACUCUCUUUCUGGGAAAAUCCCAUCUGAACUUGGCCUCUGUAUCAAUCUUUUUACCUUGAACAUGUAUACUAAUCAAUUUACUGGAAGCAUACCUCCUGAGCUUGGAAAUUUAGAAAACUUGCAAGUGCUCAGAUUGCAUAACAAUAAGUUGAACUCCAGUAUACCUGCCUCAAUAUUCCACCUGAAGUCAUUAACUCAUUUAGGACUCUCACAGAAUGAACUAACUGGUAAUAUUCCUCCCGAGUUGGGAUCUUUAACGUCACUAGAAGUGCUUACCCUUCACUCAAAUAGGUUAUCGGGGGAGAUCCCAUCAACUAUAACAAACCUGGCAAACUUGACAUAUUUGUCUUUGGGCUUUAAUUUAUUGACUGGAUCACUUCCAUCGGAAUUUGGGUUACUCUAUAAUCUGAAAAAUCUAACUGCAAAUGAUAACCUCCUGGAAGGAUCUAUUCCAUCGAGCAUAACAAAUUGUUCUCAUCUUCUUGUUUUAACCCUCGCUUAUAAUAGAAUAGCGGGGAAAAUACCAAAUGGGUUGGGGCAAUUGUCCAAUCUUACAUUUUUGUCUUUGGGAUCAAACAAAAUGAUGGGGGAGAUUCCUGAUGAUCUCUUCAACUGUUCAAUGCUUGAAAUUCUAGAUCUGAGUGAUAACAAUUUCAGCGGGAAACUCAAAUCAAUGAUUGGCAGACUCUCUAAACUUCGAGUUUUAAGAGCUCGUACUAAUUCAUUUCUUGGGCCAAUCCCACCAGAGAUUGGUAAACUGAGUCAACUCGUGGAUUUAGUGCUUCACGAAAACAGUUUCUCAGGUGCGAUACCACCAGAAAUUUCAAUGCUUUCAAACCUUCAGGGUCUUUUGCUAUCUGACAACAAGCUGGAAGGUGAACUUCCUGUGCAGCUUUUUGAGCUCAAACAGCUCAAUGAACUCCGGCUGAAGAACAAUAAUUUCUUUGGUCCACUACCGCAACAUAUAUCCAAACUAGAAUCACUGUCGCUCAUGGAUCUGAGUGGAAAUAAGCUUAAUGGCACAAUCCCAGAGAGCAUGGCGAGCCUCCGCAGAUUGAUGACCGUAGAUCUUUCACACAACCUUCUUACCGGAACUAUUCCCAGAGCAGUACUUGCCAGCAUGAGAAGUAUGCAACUUUACUUGAACGUUUCCAGCAAUUUGUUGCACGGAGAGAUCCCAGAUGAGAUAGGCGUGUUAGAAAUGGUUCAAGAGAUUGACAUGUCAAAUAAUAAUCUGUCAGGCAGCAUUCCCAGAUCCCUAGAACGCUGCAAAAACUUAUUUUCACUGGACCUAUCAGGAAACAUGCUCUCUGGUCCUGCUCCAGGUGAAAUUUUCACCAAAUUAAGAGAGCUUGUGUUCUUGAACCUCUCAAGGAACAGAUUAGAAGGUAGUCUUCCUGAAAUAGCAGGAUUAUCACAUCUUCGCUCUCUUGAUGUUUCACAAAACAAGUUCAAUGGAAUCAUUCCCGAGAGAUUUGCCAAUAUGACUGCAUUGAAAUAUCUCAACCUUUCUUUCAACCAACUUGAAGGUCACAUUCCAAAGGGGGGUGUAUUCAACAAUAUAAGGUCGGAGGAUUUACUGGGAAAUCCAUCUCUAUGUGGAACAAAGUUUCUCAGUCCAUGCAACAUAAAAAGAAACCGAACAAGUUCUCAUGGUUUUUCCAAGAAAACCUGGAUCAUACUUGCAGCACUUGGAUCUGUUUUCAGUCUCAUUCUUCUUGUCCUGGGAAUAAUUUUAUUUCAUCGGUACAUGAAGAAGAAGAAAAAAGUGAAUGACGCGGAGGAUACAAAUCCAAAGUAUACCGCAGCAUUGAGCCUCCAGAGAUUUUAUCAAAAGGAUUUGGAACAUGCUACCAAUAAUUUCAGUCCGGAAAACAUUAUUGGAGCCAGCAGUUUAAGUACUGUGUACAAAGGUACACUGGAAGAUGGGAAGAUUGUAGCAGUUAAGAAGCUGAAUCACCAGUUCUCAGCAGAAUCUGGUAAAUGCUUUGAUAGGGAAGUCAAGACUCUGAGCCAACUCAGACACAGGAACCUAGUUAAGGUGCUAGGUUACGCUUGGGAAAGCAAGAAGCUAAGGGCUUUAGUUUUAGAAUACAUGGAGAAUGGGAACUUGGACAACAUGAUUUAUGGUCAAGUGGAGGAUGACUGGACGUUGUCCAAUAGGAUUGAUAUUUUAGUUUCAGUUGCAAGUGGACUGUCAUACCUGCAUUCAGGCUAUGAUUUUCCAAUAGUGCACUGCGACAUGAAGCCUUCAAAUAUUCUUCUGGAUAAAAAUAUGGAAGCACAUGUGAGUGACUUUGGGACAGCUAGGAUGUUGGGUAUUCAUCUCCAGGAUGGGAGCAGCAUAUCAUCAGCAUCCGCAUUUGAAGGAACUAUUGGUUACAUGGCGCCAGGUAAUAAUUCUUACAACUUCUUGACCCACACUUUACUAACUAGAUUAUGUGUUACAAUAGCAUGAAUACAAGAUGUCUACAAUGUAAACGAGCUUAUAUGGGUACCACAAAUAAUAUUUUGUCAAUGGUGAAUGUUUCAAAUACAUUCCAUUUUAGCAUCAUUCAGUAGUAACAUCACUUCUGUCAAUCACAAUAUGCAGCACAGCAGAUUUUUUUUUCCUUUCAAUCACAAAAUACUGAUUUAACUUUUAUGUGGAAGAAUAGACAAGCAAGUAAAUGAUGCAAUGUUUAGAACAUAUAAUCUGUAAAGUAUUAUUUUAAAUGAUAAUGUCAGUUUUAAUCUAUCCAAAAAUCUAGCGCCAGCUUUUACAUGCUCCUAAUUUAAUUUGAGACCUCACUUACAUGAAAUGUUAUCUAUGCAACAGAGUUUGCAUAUAUGAGGAAAGUGACCACAAAAGUAGAUGUAUUCAGCUUUGGUGUCAUUGUGAUGGAGAUCAUUACAAAAAGAAGGCCAACAAGUCUUACCGGAGCAGAUGAAUUACCAAUGACUUUGCAUCAAAUUGUUCAGAAUGCCCUUGCGAAUGGCAUAAACAAGCUAGUUCAGAUUGUGGAUCCUAAUCUAGCUUCAUAUGUCUCCAAGAAACAGGAUGUACUAGAGGGACUUCUUAACUUGGCUUUGUCCUGCACCUCUGCUGAUCCUGAAGAUAGACCUGACAUGGAACAAGUUCUGUCUUCUCUUUCAAAGCUAAGUAAGAUGGACUGCAUGCCUUCACAUUUGGUAAAAGAUUAAAUUUGAUGUAGAAGAAGCUGGAAUAUCAUCACUCUUAAAGUGAACCACCACCAAGUUUCUCAUGGGGCUAAUGGAACUAGUUCAUAACUUAAAAUGUAUUUACUAUUUAAAUAAAUUUUCCGUAUUUCAAGCCAUAAAUGAUCUCUCGAGUAUUCCUGCUUUACUAGAGAGAUAUAAUGGAACUGUCCCGUCAGAUUAUUUUGAAGUUGACAUGCAUCAUGAAAAUGAACAAAAUAUUCAACAAUACUUCACAUUAAUUACAACUAAGGAGCAAAAAGCUAGAUCUUUACGAAGUUCUCUAGUGACAUGUAAUAGAGUUAGUGAGCAAGCAGUUGAUUGCAAACCAAAGUGCUAAUGUAGUCUGUCACUAAAGAUUAUCUACAGCAAAUGAGUACACUUACGAACACACAUAUAUAGAAGUGAAACUGAGGAAAACUCAAUAAGGGCUUUAAUAAGCCUACAAUCAUCCAUCAUAUUUUACCUUGAAAUAUGCAUUCUAGAAAUUUAUUUACUAGAGAGGGAACACGCAACCUCAUCUAUUGGUGGAUCAUUAUGCAAGAACUCGUCAAUGGUAGAGGGAAACUCAAAGCUUCCAACACCAUCAAAAACCUCUGAAUGAAUAAGAGAAGCUUUGCCUAAAAGCAGAUGAGCUAACCUAAAUGAUUCUCUUCUCUCUCCAUUACUCCUAUCCAGAAAAUGCUCAAUCCAACCUUCUAACCUCUCCACUUCUUUUUCACUUUUUGGCCCUUUAACCCCAACAAUGUUUCCAUAAAAUGCAUCAUCACAGCCCAAAUCCACUUCCACACUUUUGGUUCCUCCCCUUUUACUGUCCGAUAUACCCAAUAGCUGCAUCAACAGUUCAAUGUCAUCAACCCCAUCACCACCAGUUUCAACUGUACCAACUCUUUCUUGAACUUGUGUAGGGUUUAUCUGAGGUGGGGUUUCUUGGGCAAGUGGGGAAUUAGAGAGAAAUUGAAGUGGGGUUUCACUUUCUUUGAGGUUUGUGUAGCUGGUGAUGGAGUCAACAGGGGUCUCACUCUCAUCACAGUUAAGGUAUAAUGGGCUGAUCAUAGACUGGGUCGGUGUGUCGACGGCUUCUUGUUGUGUUGGUUCAUCAAGUUUCAAUCUUUUCUCCAAUUGUUUGAGAGAAGAGAAGAAAUUUGAGUGUGGAGAAGGUCUUUGCAUGUUUGGGAGGAAAUCAGAAUGAAUGAUUUGGGGGUUUAGGGUUUUAGCUGUGAGUAAAGAAGGGAUUAAGAAAAAAGAGCGCCAAUUGGUGAGAAAAAACAGUUGAAUAAACGGCUGAAUAGCUACAAUAUUGCUCUACGUCUCCGUGAGUUGUGGUGAAAUAGUUGAAUUCGAGCCCCCAAUGAAAUAAAUCUGUUUGCAAGCAUUGCCCCUGCUGUAUUAGCAGGCUCUAAUAUUAGAGUUGAUAAUUUCCUUAUUAUUUAUUUUAUAACUAGUAAAAUUAUUCGCGUUUUGUGCGGGAAUUUAAUAUCACAAAAUUUAUAAAAUAAUAUUUAAAACAUAUCAGUCAUUAAAAAAAAAUCACUAUAUUAUCUUAUAUACAAGAUUACGUAGUAACGAACAUUAAUAAUGUAAGGGAAAAUGAUAAUUAUAACAUUUUAUCAUUUAUCCUUCAAUCAAUCAUCCUUUUGCCUCCGGGAAGUGUUACUAUUUGAUAUUUUUGGAAAAUUAAAUGAACAUCAAUAUGAGAUAUUAAAUUUUAAUUGUGCAGAAGAAGAAGAAAUUCAAAAUUUCCGUUGUUUUAAAAUGAGAAAAAAUCCCUCUAUUCAUAGACAACAAAUGGUAGUGUGAACAAAUACUUAUUGUGCCUUAUCGAAAAUGUCACAACUCUUUGGAAAAGUUACAACCCUUCGGAAAGAUCACAACCUUUCAUAAAAAUAACAUUUUUUCAUAAAAGUCGCAACUCUUUAUAAAAGUCACAAUUUUUCACAGAAGACACAUUUUUUCAUGAAAGUGGAGGGCUAUUUUGAAAAUAAAUAAAUUUAAAAGGAAAUUCUAACUUGUGGUGGCGCCACGUAGGCGGACCUAUGGUUAUAUAUAUCGAAGGAAUUAGUUUUCUCAAAUUUAUUUUUGGAGGACAAUAAAGGAUUGAAUAACAUAUGUUGUGAUUUGUGAACAUGGAUAGUCCAAAUAGUGCUUAUGGUUAUGGACAAGUAGUCCAGCCAAACUGUUGGGCCUGUGGUACGAAACUAAAGGGACAAUUAAUCAAAAUGGCCAAUUGGUGAUAAUUCUCUCUUCUAGCAUCUUCAAAGCUCAAAUUUUAAAAUUAAUAUGCCGCAAACGUGGAUCACUUUGAAUAAAUAGUAUACCAAAAGACUCAAAACAUUGAGAUAAAUUCAUAUCUAAAAUUUGAGAUUGUUUAGAGGAAAUUUGAAAUGGUUGAGAUUGAGAAAAUAAUUGGUCUACAAUAUAUACUUCAUUGUCUCAACAAUGUAUAUAGAUGUAUAUAUCUCUCUCUAAUAUAUAGUUAUACAUCAUUCAUACAUGAGUAUACACUAUUUAUACAAUAUCGAUACAUUACAUAUACAUUUGUUGAUUUUUUGUUGUUGUCCGUACAUAUAUUGCUAAUUUUGGGUUAUUUUAUUAAUGUAAAUGAAAACUUGGCUACAUUUGAAACUACUUUUUAUUUUACCCAAAACUAAAAAUCUGAAAAAGAAAUUUUUUCGCAGGAACGGUUGGUUUAUUAGGUCUGCUCACACCUAUAUUGAUUCAUCACUCAAUUUGAUCUAAGUGAUCUUUGGACGAAAUGUAUCAUAAUUCUUUUAUUGAAUCAUUAUUUUUUAACCUUCUAAACUCGCCCUGUUCAUUUGAAGCUCCUUAUAAUUUUCUUCCAAUUUUAAAUUGCAUGAAGUUGUUUAUCUCGCUAUGCUUAUUUAAUUUCUUGGUAAAUAACAAAAUUAUCCUUAUGUUAUUGCGUUAUUCCAAGUUUUAGCCCUUAUGUUAUUCAUUUGAGCACAAUAAACCUUUGAUUAACAAAAACAUGUGAUAUUGGUUUUUUAAAUUAAUAGAAGUUAAAAAUUUAAAAGAAUUAAUAUUUGAAAAGUUUGAAAGAUCAAUAUCACAUAUUUUAAUUAAUUAAAAACUAAAUAUGCUCAGUGGUAUAACGCAAAGGACUAAAGUGGAUAUUCACCUUUAUUUUCUUGAUCAACUCAAGCUAAUGAUAUCUAUUAUCUAGUAGCAAUAUUGACUGAGAUUUGGCGACUUACAACAUGAGACUAUAAUUGGCGUGUUGACUACAAAACAAGUUAAUUAUGAUUAGUCAAGUUUAAUUAUUUUCAAAUAGAACCCACUUAUUUGCAUACUUUUUGCCACAUUCAUCUCUUAGAGGUCAGAUAAAAAUUGUGUGUACAUAAUCUAUUCAAACAUGUUGACAACUAAAAAAAUGAUAAAUUUGGGUGGCUGUUUGUCUCUCUUUGACCUAAUGUUCAAAGUAUACACGAGUGAAUGACAAAUGAUAAAAUAGAUUUAAACAUAUUACUUUAUUAGUUCAUAUAGAAGGUUUAGGUACACUGUUAAAUCAACGAUGAUUUCAUUUUGAACAAUAGUUUCAGGAAUAAGACUUUAUAUUAUUCAAUCUAUUAGGAACACAGGCGGAUCUAAGAAUUCUAUUAAAAAAAGAGAGGAAAAAAUACAUAUAUUAAGUGAUAAUUGAUCCUUGGGCGAUUAACUCAACAUUCAAUCAAGUGUACCAUUUAGCCUUAUUGGAGCAUGAGUGUGAUUAGAUAGUAUUAGAUCAAUUCUAGAAUAUAUGUACAUAAAACGACUAGUUUGAUGAAAAGAUCAUAGGUUCACGUGCACCAUAAAUAGGCUAUAAAUUCACCUCUGAUUGGGAAAUGACCACCGCUGAAUGUCAUCUUUCAGCUUGUCUAACUCUGCUGUUUCUCUAGAAAAGAAACAACUGAAAUGAACUUAUACAAUAUUUCUGCUCCAUAUGGCAGUUCUAGAAAAAAUAAUAGUAAUAAUAAAAACAGUUGACAUGAUGUAAUGUGAAUGCACUCAAUUUUCAAACAAUAUGAUCAGUUUUUGUAGGAAUUUCUGACAAAUUCAUAGAAUACAAGUCAUUGUACUUAGUUUUGAUGACUAGUUGACUUCUUCAACAGAAAACAGUAAGCAAAUAUCAUUAAUAAUUGUAUAAACUAUUCAUUUUCAGCUUAAGUUUGUAAAGAGAGUGAAGCUUCUUUCUUUUGAACCAAUGAUGUCAAAGACCACUGUAUAUGCAUUAGCCAUUUUUUUUAGUUCCUUUUUCAUAGCUUUGUCCUUUGGGGAAACUCCAAGCUUGGAAGUUGAAGUUGCUGCUUUGAAAGCUUUCAAGAACUCAAUCACUGAUGACCCUUUUGGUGCACUUGUGGAUUGGACUGAUGCAAAUCACAUUUGCAACUGGUCUGGAAUCAUAUGUGAUCCUUCUUCAAACCAUGUCAUCAACAUUUCGCUUAUUGGGAUGCAGCUCAAAGGCGAGAUUUCUCCGUUUCUAGGAGACCUCUCCAAACUCCAGGUUCUUGAUCUAACUUUGAAUUCAUUUACUGGAAAUAUCCCAGCCAAGCUGGGGCAUUGCACUGAGCUGGUUCAGCUCAUUCUUUACCGAAACUUUCUUUCUGGUGAAAUUCCUACCGAGCUAGGAAACCUCAAAAACCUGCAAUUAUUAAAUUUUGGAAAUAACUCUUUGAGUGGGAGAAUACCUGAGAGUAUAUGCAACUGCACUGAAUUGUUGUUAGUAAGCCUCAUCAACAACAGCCUCACAGGCAAAUUACCAUCUGAAAUUGGUAAUUUGGUCAAUCUUCAAUUGUUUGAAGCUUAUAGAAACAAUUUGGUUGGUUCUAUUCCUACCUCCAUUGGAAUGCUGACAGCUCUGCAAACCCUUGAUCUGAGCUCAAACCAGUUUUCUGGACCUAUACCACCAGAAAUUGGCAACUUGUCAAGUUUAGAAACUCUUCAGUUGCAUCACAACUUUCUUUCUGGGAAAAUCCCAUCUGAACUUGGCCUCUGUAUCAAUCUUGUUACCUUGGACAUGUAUAAUAACCAAUUCACUGGAGGCGUACCUCCUGAGCUAGGAAAUUUAGAAAAUUUGCACAGGCUCAGAUUGUAUAACAAUAAGUUGAACUCCAGUAUACCUGCCUCAUUGUUCCACCUGAAGUCAUUAACUCAUUUAGGACUCUCACAUAAUGAGCAAACUGGUAAAAUUCCUCCUGAGUUUGGAUCUUUAAUGUCACUACAAGUGCUUACCCUCCACUCAAAUAGGUUGUAUGGGGAGAUUCCAUCAACUUUGACAAACCUGGCAAACUUGACAUAUUUGUCUUUGAGCUUUAAUUUAUUGACAGGAUCACUUCCACCGGAACUUGGGUUACUCUAUAAUCUGAAGAAUCUAACUGCAAGUAAUAACCUCCUAGAGGGACCUAUUCCAUCUAGCAUAACAAAUUGUUCUCAUCUUCGUGUUUUAACCCUCACCUUUAAUAGAAUAACAGGUAAAAUACCAAAUGGGUUGGGGAAGUUGUCCAAUCUUACAUUUUUGUCUUUGGGAUCAAACAAAAUGUUGGGGGAGAUUCCUGAUGAUAUCUUCAACUGUUCAAUGCUUGAAGUUCUAGAUCUGAGUGGUAAUAAUUUUAGCGGGAAGCUCAAACCGAUGAUUGGCAGACUCUCUAAACUUCGAGUUCUAAGAGCUCAUAGUAAUUCAUUUCUUGGGCCAAUCCCACCAGAGAUUGGUAAACUGAGUCAACUGAUAGAUUUAGUGCUUCACAAAAACAGUUUCUCAGGUGUGAUACCACCAGAACUUUCAAAGCUUUCAAACCUCCAGGGCCUUUCUCUGUCAGACAAUAAGCUGGAAGGUGAACUUCCUGUGCAACUUUUUGAGCUUACACGCCUCUAUGAACUCCUGCUGCAGAACAAUAAUUUCUUCGGUCCAAUCCCCAAUCAGAUAUCCAAAUUAGAAUCACUUUCACUCCUGGACCUGAGUGGAAAUAAGCUUAACGGUACAAUCCCAGAGAGCAUGGUGAGCCUCCGCAGACUGACGACCUUAGAUGUUUCACACAACCUUCUAACCGGAACUCUUUCCAGAGCAGUACUUGCCAGCAUGAGAAGUAUGCAAUUUUACUUGAACGUUUCCAGCAACUUGUUGGAUGGAGAGAUCCCAUAUGAGAUUGGCAUGUUAGAAAUGGUUCAAGGGAUUGAUAUGUCAAACAACAAUCUAUCAGGCAACAUUCCCAGAUCCCUAGGACUCUGCAAAAACUUAUUCUCACUAGACCUAUCAGGAAACAUGCUGUCUGGUCCUGCUCCAGGCGAAACUCUGACCAAAUUAAGUGAGCUACUAUUCUUGAACCUCUCAAGGAACAGAUUAGAAGGCAAACUUCCUGACAUGGAAGGAUUGCCACAUCUUCGCUCACUUGAUCUUUCACAAAACAAGUUCAAGGGAAUCAUUCCUGAGAGAUUUGCCAAUAUGCCUGCAUUAAUAUAUCUCAACCUUUCUUUUAACCAGCUUGAAGGUCACAUUCCAAAGGGGGGUGUAUUCGACAACUUAAGGUCAGCAGAUUUACAGGGAAAUCCAUCUCUAUGUGGAACAGAGUUUCUCAGUCCAUGCAGCAUCAAAAGAAACCAAACAAGUUCUCAUGGGUUUUCCAAGAAAACCUGGAUCAUACUUGGGCCUGUUUUGGUUCUCAUUCUUUAUGUGGUGGGAAUAUUUUUGUAUCAUCUGUAUAUGAAGAAGCAAAAAGUGAAAGACACGGAAGAUAUAAUUCCAAAUUAUACCUCAGCACUUAGCCUCCAGAGAUUUUAUCAAAAGGAUUUGGAACAUGCUACUGAUAAUUUCAGUCCACAAAACAUUAUUGGAGCCAGCAGUUUAAGUAAUGUGUACAAAGGAACACUGGAAAGUGGGAAGAUUGUAGCAGUUAAGAAACUGAAUCUCCAGUUCUCAGCAGAAAUUCGUAAAUGCUUUGAUAGGGAGGUCAAGACUCUGAGCCAACUCAAACACAGGAACCUGGUUAAGGUGCUCGGUUAUGCUUGGGAAAGCAAGAAGCUAAUGGCUGUAAUUUUAGAAUACAUGGAGAAUGGGAACUUGGACAGUUUUAUUUAUGGUCAAAUGGCGGAUGAAUGGACAUUGUCCAAUAGGAUAGACAUUUUAGUUUCAGUAGCAAGUGGGCUGUCAUACCUGCAUUCAGGAUAUGAUUUUCCAAUAGUGCACUGUGACUUGAAGCCUUCAAAUAUUCUUCUGGAUAAAAAUAUGGAAGCACAUGUGAGUGACUUUGGGACAGCUAGGAUGUUGGGUAUUCAUCACCAAGAUGGGAGCAGCAUAUCAUCAGCAUCUGCAUUUGAAGGAACUAUUGGUUACAUGGCACCAGGUAAUAAUUAUUACAACAUCACUUCUGUAAAUCACAAUACACAGCUUAGCAGAUUUUCUUUUCCCGUCAAUCACAAAAUAAUGAUUAAUUUGUAUGUGGAAGAAUGGACAAGCAUUUAAGUGAUCCAAUGUUUUGAACAUAUAAUCUGAAAAGUAUUUUUUAAUGAUAAUACCAACUUUAGUCUAACCAGAAAAUGCUAGUGUCAGCUUUAGAAUUUUGAAUUUCUUGAACAUUUUACAUGCUCCUUAUUUAAUUUGAGACCUAACUCAAAUGAAAUGUUUUUCUAUGAAACAGAGUUUGCAUAUAUGAGGAAAGUGACCACAAAAGUAGAUGUAUUCAGCUUUGGUGUAAUUGUGAUGGAGAUCAUUACAAAAAGAAGGCCAACAAGUCUAACAGGUGCAGAUAAAUUACCAAUGACUUUGAAUCAAGUUGUUCAGAAUGCCCUUGCGAAUGGCAUAAGCAAGCUGGUCCAGAUUGUGGAUCCUAAUUUAGCUUCACAUGUCUCCAAGAACCAGGAGAUAGUAGAGGGACUUCUUAACUUGGCUUUAUCCUGCACCUCUCCGGAUCCUGAAGAUAGACCUGACAUGGAACAAGUUCUGUCUUCUCUUUCAAAGCUAAGUAAGAUGGAGAGCAUGCAUUCACACGCUUGUUUGGUAUCAUCAUUCUUAAUAUGAACCACCACCAAGUUUCCCUCGGUGGCCAAUGGAACUAGUCCACAACUGAAAAUGUAAUUACAAUUUAAAUAGAACUUACGUUUUUCAAGCCAUAAUUAUCUUUCAGGUAUUCCUGCUUUACUAGAGGGGUAUGGUUGAACUCUCACAUUAGAUUAAGUUAAAGUUGACUUGCAUCAUGAAAUUGAAGAACUCUGUACAUUAAUUACAACUAAGGAACAAAAAGCUAGAUCUUUACGAAGUACUCCAGUGACGUGUAAUAGUCAGCGAGCAGUUGAUUGCUAGACUAAAGUGCCAAUGCAUUCUGUUACUAGAGAUUGCCUACAGGAAAUGAGUACACUUUUGAACACGAAUAUAUAGAAGUGAAAUUGAGGAGAACUCAAAAAGAGGCCUUAAUAAGACUACAAUGAUACAUCAUAUUUUACCUUAAAAUAUGCAUUUUAGAAAUUUAUUUACUAUGCAAGAACUCAUCAAUGUAAGAGGGAAACUCAAAGCUUCCAAAACCAUCAAAAAUCUCCUAAGGAAUAAGAGCAGCUUUGCCUAAAGGCAGAUGAGCUAACCUAAAUGAUUCUCUUCGCUCUCCAGUACCCUUAUCCAGAAAAUGCUCAAUCCAACCUUCUAAUCUCUCCACUUCUUCUUCACUUUUUGCCCCCUUAACCCCAACAAUCUUUCCAUAAAAUGCAUCAUCACAGCCCAAAUCCACUUCCACCCUUUUGGAUCCUUCCCUUUUACCCUCCGAUAAACACAAUAGCUGCAUCAUCAGUUUACCCUCAUCAACCCCAUUACCACUAGCUUCAACUAUACCAACACUUUCUUGGGCAAGUGAGGAAUUAGAGAGAAAUUGAAGUGGGGUUUCACUUUCUUUAAGGUUUGUGUAUCUGGUGAUGGAGUCAGCAGGGGUCUCAUCACAGUUGAGGUAUAAUGGGCUGAUCAAAGACUGGUCGGUGUCUCAACGGCUUCUCGUUGAGAUGGGUCGUCAAGUUUCAAUCUUUUCUCCAAUUGUUUGAGAGAUGAGAAGAAAUUGGAAUGUGGAGAAGGUCUUUGCAUUAUUUUUUUAGUGAAUCAGAACUUGAAUUGAGUUUUUAGUUAUGGAAGGUUGAAGAAUGGAAAGGAAAAAAGAGCGCCAACUGCUGCAAAGGACAAUUUAAUCACUUUUGUUUGAAAUUUUACGCCGAUUUGGGAUUUCUGGGUAUGUUAUUUAAGGUAUUUUCUGAAUUAAUCCAUAUUCUCAAUGUUUAAAGAGCUUUGAUAUCCAGGGUCAGAUCCAGAGGUUCUGGUACGGGUUUACGAGAACCAAAUAACUUUUGCUUAUAUUCUGUAUGUGUUAAAAAUCUGAUUGUGAAUAGAAUUAUCAUUGAUUUAAAAGGUUCUAGGAUGACCUUUCAAUACAAGUGACUUUCCUUGUGCAUGUUUAUAGCUUGGAUCAUAUAGUUGCUAAUAAGAGUAUCCGAAAAAUGGAACAGGGAGAGAACAUAGCUACUGAAGUUUUGUGGAAAGUGUAUUCAUUUGUUUGCGUGAAACCAUGCAGUACAAAUGCUGAUAAGAGUAAAAAUAUAUUCAGAAAGGAGAAAAAGGAAUGUGUAAUAUAGCCACAUAGGUAUAACAUUGAGGAUAUAGACAAAUGAUUUCUCACAUGAUCACUCAACUAAUAUGUUAGCCAUUAUCUCAUAAAGUCACCUUAUUCUUGAUUCUAAUUUGUUUUUAACAAGAGUGACUUCUGAGAUAAUAACUAUCAGUUGAGUGACACUUUGAAGGAAACCAAAUUGCAGUAGAAUUAUCUGUUGUUCAACUGGUGGAUCACAAUUUGAUAGCAUUAGCAUUUCCUGCUCAUUUGGCAAAUUAAAGUCCAAUACCAAUAACCACGACUCUGUUUCAUUUAGAUACAUUAUGCUUUGAAAAAUCUAGUCCGAAUUUAGAUUUUUCCCAAUCAGGAGUUGGCAUGUAUGGUGGUGGAUUUUUGAAACAUUUACUUGGCCAGAAUAUGUUGUAUAAAGCACUGUUAUGUUCACAUGUGUCUGUUUGCCUAGGCGUAGGACCACUUGUAUGAGUGGUUGAGAAUAUGCCUGCUACUAGAAAAAUAGAAAUUAGUAAUGGACAAAUUUCGUAGUUAAACGACAAGUGAGCAAUUUAACGAUGAAGUUCAUAACCAGUAGAAGUUUUUUUUUUUAUAGAACGAUGAAAAUGAACUAACAUAACGGUUCAUUUUUCCCCUUAUUCCUUUCUAUUUUACACAGAGAAGGGAUUCGGGCUGUAAUUACUUCAAAAUGCCUGUAAUAGUGGUGUUGUCUUUUACCCUGCUGGAAGAAAAAUAUAUAAAGAAUGUCCUAAUGGAAAAAAGUAGAAGAUACUUUAAUGUAAGCUCAACAACAAAGACAGAGAGAAAUCUUUGUAGCCACAGAACAUUGGUUGGUCCCCCAAGUAAAAAUCUUGGAAGAUUUUUGGAUUUGUGAUUGCCAAGUGUGAAUGGAGAGUAAUCUUGACAUCCAAUGAGAUCAUAGAUAUAGAUAUCACUAGAUAAGGACUCUUCCCUAUCUUACUUACUAUAUAUAGUGAAGUUUCAAUAACUUCAGCUCAUCACAACUAACUUUUACAUAUCAAACUAGCAACCCCCUCACUUUCCUCUCUUUAUAAACCAUGGCAGCUGCUACAAUGGCUCUUUCUUCCCCUUCUUUUGCUGGACAGGCAGUGAAACUCUCACCCUCUGCCUCAGAAAUCACUGGAAAUGGAAGGAUCACUAUGAGAAAGGCUGUCGCCAAGUCUGCCCCAUCUAGCAGCCCAUGGUAUGGCCCUGACCGUGUUAAGUACUUGGGCCCAUUCUCUGGUGAGUCCCCAAGCUACUUGACCGGUGAAUUCCCUGGUGACUACGGACCGUGUUAAGUACUUGGGCCCAUUCUCUGGUGAGUCCCCAAGCUACUUGACUGGCGAAUUCCCUGGUGACUAUGGAUGGGAUACCGCUGGACUUUCAGCAGACCCUGAGACCUUUGCCAAGAACCGUGAACUUGAGGUGAUCCACUGCAGAUGGGCUAUGCUUGGUGCUCUUGGAUGUGUCUUCCCUGAGCUAUUGGCCCGUAAUGGUGUCAAGUUCGGUGAGGCUGUGUGGUUCAAGGCCGGAUCCCAGAUCUUCAGCGAGGGUGGACUUGACUACUUGGGCAACCCAAGCUUGGUCCAUGCACAGAGCAUCUUGGCCAUCUGGGCUUGCCAAGUUGUCUUGAUGGGAGCCGUUGAAGGUUACCGUAUUGCUGGUGGACCUCUUGGUGAGGUUGUCGACCCACUCUACCCUGGUGGCAGCUUUGACCCAUUAGGCCUUGCUGAAGACCCAGAGGCAUUUGCUGAGCUCAAAGUAAAGGAGAUUAAGAACGGCAGACUUGCUAUGUUCUCUAUGUUUGGAUUCUUCGUUCAGGCCAUUGUUACCGGAAAGGGUCCAUUGGAGAACCUUGCUGACCACCUUGCAGACCCCGUUAACAACAACGCUUGGGCUUUCGCCACAAACUUUGUCCCCGGAAAAUGAAUAUCAUAAUAUAAUUUUUUAAUUUUGAUUGUUCGAUGGCCCUGUAAAGUAGUUGUGACUUACUUGAUAAUAGAAUGGUUCUUUUUUCCAUAUUCCAGUGAUUGUGUAGUUCUGAGUUACAUUUUCCAAAUCUACGAAUCAAAUAUUGCCACUUCCAUACCAAAGGGGAAAUUAAAGAAAGAGAACAGAGCAAAAAGACUGAAGAUACAUAUGAGAUGUGGUAACAAGAAAAACUAUAAAGCUGUUGUAAGCUUAAAACUUGAAUUUUCAGACCAGAGGAACUUAUGGAAUUCAGUUAAUUCUCGAGAAACAAUACUCAAAAUUAGUGUAAAGUACUAAUGUUGAACAACAUGAUGUUAUUACAUGAUUCCUCAUUUAUCUAUCGAAAAGUGAGAGGAAAUAAGAGGACAUUGUUUCAUUUCACUACCAGAACAUUGAGACAGGGGAAGAAAACCAAUAUGUUUUGUAGUCUGAAUGUAGUAAGUAAUAUAUGAGUUUCCAGGUCCAUACAGUAUGUCUCCUUUGAACAAAUUCAUAAAUUUCUUGUAAAAUCCUCCUGCCUCACAUGAGGUACUAUCUUUAGAUUAAAAGCAUCCUUGACAGAUCCUUCAAAACAAGGUACAUAGUAAUGACCAGAGCACAAAGGACAUACAUAUGUAGUUAGAAGAAGACACAAGUACUGCUAAAUAUGACACUUAUUGGCAACAAAUUCAAGUUCCAUGCACUAAUAACGUAAACAAUAUUUACACAAAUUACUUAGUAAGUAAUUAAAGGUAAAUCACUUGAUAACAUUAAUCGGUAGUCUGGUAAAAAAUGGGAAUUGCCUACUAUCACACGUUAAAAUUUACUGAUGUAACUUCUAUUUCCCUUAACGCAGCGCAAAAUUGUGAUGCUGAUGAAUUCCAACAAAUUAAAAUCUUUGCUCAUAUUCUUCUGAACAAGCUCUUUCCAAGGCUCAGCAUUGCUCAUGUAGUAGUUAAGUAACACGUACUAAGCCGCAUUAAAUCUCUAAACCUAACAGUAUUGUGAAUGAGCAUAAAACAAUAUAACCUGUGUGGCUAACAUAAACAACUUUGGUAAUUAAGGUCUAAUAUAAUAAAGUUUCAAUCACAUUGCUUUCCAAACAUAAAGAUGCAUUAUUAAGUUCCCAAAAUUUAUGAAUCAAGUAGUAAUAAAUUUCAACUUUUCCUCAAAUUUCCUAAACCAUAGUUCUACAUUGAAUGAAGUAUAGUGGUGGUAUGUUUUACCCUGCAGGUAGAUAAAAUCUAGAGAAAUGCCAAGUGGAUAAUGAUAGGGAUAUCAUAUUGUAAGCUCAACAAAUCACAGGGCAGAUUCCAAUCCUUGUGGCAACAUAUGAGAGGACAAUAUUGGUUGUGUCCCUUGCUGGAAAAUUGAUGGAUUGGAGAUUGCUAAAUGUGCAUAAUUGCUACAAGUAGGAUCUUGAUAGCCAAUGAGAUCAUAGAUAUAGAUUUCACUAGAUAAGGACUCUUUCCCUCUUUCUUAAUUCCUAUAUAUGGUGAAUUAAUUCCCUUGUAACUUCAUCUCAUCACAGCCUUCAACAAUAUUUCAUACCAUCAAACACUCAACACUUUUCUCUUAAUCUAAAUCAUGGCAGCUGCUACAAUGGCUCUUUCUUCCCCUUCUUUUGCUGGACAGGCAGUGAAACUUUCACCAUCUGCCUCAGAAAUUUCUGGAAAUGGAAGGAUCACUAUGAGAAAGGCUGUCGCCAAGUCUGCCCCAUCUAGCAGCCCAUGGUAUGGCCCUGACCGUGUUAAGUACUUGGGCCCAUUCUCUGGUGAGUCCCCAAGCUACUUGACUGGCGAAUUCCCUGGUGACUAUGGAUGGGAUACCGCUGGACUUUCAGCAGACCCUGAGACCUUUGCCAAGAACCGUGAACUUGAGGUGAUCCACUGCAGAUGGGCAAUGCUUGGUGCUCUUGGAUGUGUCUUCCCUGAGCUCUUGGCCCGUAACGGUGUCAAGUUCGGCGAGGCUGUGUGGUUCAAGGCCGGAUCCCAGAUCUUCAGCGAGGGUGGACUUGACUACUUGGGCAACCCAAGCUUGGUCCAUGCACAAAGCAUCUUGGCCAUUUGGGCUUGCCAAGUUGUGUUAAUGGGAGCUGUUGAGGGAUACCGUAUUGCAGGUGGACCUCUUGGUGAGGUCGUCGACCCACUCUACCCUGGCGGCAGUUUUGACCCAUUAGGUCUUGCUGAUGAUCCAGAGGCAUUUGCUGAGCUCAAAGUAAAGGAGAUUAAGAACGGCAGACUUGCUAUGUUCUCUAUGUUUGGAUUCUUCGUUCAGGCCAUUGUUACCGGAAAGGGUCCAUUGGAGAACCUUGCUGACCACCUUGCAGACCCCGUUAACAACAAUGCAUGGGCCUUUGCCACAAACUUUGUUCCCGGAAAAUGAAUAUCAUAAAACGUUCUCUAGAUAUUAUUGUUUGAUGGCUUUGUAAAGUUUUAGUUGUGAGUUUACUUGACAAUAGAAUGGAUUUUUCUUAGUCCUGAAUUUCAUUUUCCAAUGAUGAAUGAAAUACUGCAAAAUUCAUAUUGAAGGGGAAAAUUGAUGACAAAGCAAAAAUAACAAGACCAAAGUUACAUUUGAGAUGUGGUAAAAGCUUAAACCUGAAUAUACAGACCAGAGAC